UUUUUUUUUUUUUUUUUUUUUUUUUUUUUUUUGGCGAGUGCUUGAUUAAGGUAAGAGAUAGAAAUAGACCAUAUGCAUCACGAGCUACAAAUACUAGUGGUAAGAAUAAAAACACCAUACUUUUUUUUUGCUUCGAGCUGCAAAAGAAAAGGUUAGGAAAAAAUGAAUCAGAUUUAAAUACAUGUCAUGUCCAGUAGAUAUUGAGUGCUGGUUAUUAUUAUCAAUUUUGUUAGCUAUAGAGCUGGAACACAAGCGCAACACUAAUCGAGCUGGUUAUUACCAUCAAUUUUGUUAGCUGUAGAACACAAGCCCAACACCAACGUCGAGAUUGAAGACGUUAUGUUUCACAAAAAAUCAUUGUAUAAAGGCACACAUUGAUAUUAACUCUUUUUUAAAAAAAAAACAGAAUUAAAGUUAAUUAACUUCUUGAUGACUCAAAUUCGUGACCCCUCAUUUACGAAUAAAGUGUGUGUUUUACCAAUUAAAUCACGUUCUAUUAUCUUACACAUUGAUAGUUGUAGGUCUUGAAUAAGAAAAAUAUUAAGUUGAAGCAAUGAAGUGAAACUUGUAGCGCAAGGGAGUUGAUAUUCCUACUAAUCUAAGUGUACAUAGCUCGCAUAACAUGAAACAAAGUUUGACAUGGAACCUUAUCCAAAUGUGAUAGCUUUCUAGUGCAGUUUUUUUUUUUUUUUUUUUUUUUUUUCGACACAGGGGUGUCCGGGUCAAUCCUUACGGGGCCCGACUAAUCCCCUGCGGCCCGGGCCCGGCGCCCCAACCCGACCCUAGCACGUUAAGUGCGCGGAGGAAUCCAGCAGAGCGGAGGCUCGAACUCGUGACCUCUCGGUCCUAGUGCAGUUACCACAUGCAAUUAUUUAACUUGGAUGUUGUGAUUUCUCCUCGAUUUCUAUCCUUCUACUUAAAUAGCCCCUUUGGGAGGACAAAUUUGGUGAGAAAAGAAAGGAGUAAGAAAGAAAGUAGGAUAUUUCUGGCAUUUAGGAGUAUUUUUAGGAAAAGAAUAGAAAUAAAAGGAGGGAUCUCACGUUUCUUUCAAACUACAAAAUACUGUUAGUCCAACAUGGUCAGUCCAAAACUGUUAGUAGCUGAAUAAAUAAUAACUAUAUAAAAUUUGAAUUUGAAAUUCAACAUUUAUACAUAUGUCAUAGAUCUAAUGGUGAUAGUGGAUACAUUAUUAGUGCAUAUAAGAUUUACUCGUAUUUUAAUAUAAUGUUUUGUGAUGUCAUGUGAAUUUCAAGUUUUAAGGGCACUUAUGUUAAAUAUUUUCCUUUUACUUCUCUCCACUCUCAAAUAAAGAAGAAUCAUUUUAUUCUCUUUAUUUCCAAAAGCUCCCAAACAACAUGAAAAAAAAUUACAAUAUUUGCUAUUCUAUUCUUUUCUUUUCCAACUUAAACUUUCUCUCUUUUUUUCCCUUUUGCCAAACUAGUCAUUGGUGUCAGCUGUUUUGACUAUUGUCUGUCCACUAUCCUCCUACUACAUAAUGAAAGACAACCUUAAAAACAAAUCAUAUUUUCUGUUUAUGCAAGAUCAUUCAUGGAACUUGUAGUUAGCAUCCAACACACUCCUAGUUUGUUUCUCUUUUACAUCCACUCAUUAGAGUCGUGCUGAUGGCAAAUAUAGAUAAACGUGAUACAUUUUGAGAGUUAAUUAGGGCUUUUUGUUGUACAAAUGCAGGAGCUAUGAGCUCAUCAGCUAUCUUCAUCCGAUACCGUGGGAUCCUGGCUCUGUAAUUUAUGAACAUUAUAGGGCCAGUCCACAGAAGCAGAGAGAAUGAAAAAUAGUGAUAUCCGCAGGAGAUGCAGUUUCUGAAUUGGUAACUAUAUCCUAUAAUAUAUUUAGAUGAUGCAACUUUAUUGCUAAACAACAAUGUGCCUAAACAACAAAAUUGUUUCCUAAGAUGCUCUAUGCUAUGAAAUAGCCUUAAAACUUUGGUAUUUGACAUAAAAUGCCAGCCAUGAAUUCAACAAUCACAAUAAACAAAUCUUGCAAAUGUUAAAAUGCCUGAAAUCAAUUUCUUGUGGCCCGCAUAAGAGCCAAUGUCACAAAGAUCCCUAAAACUACUUUCGCCACAAUAAAAGCGUGCGAAAGAAAGAAGCUUGGAGCUGAGUGAAAGGGCUGUCCCUUUCUAACCAGCGAAGAUAAGAUAUAAAGGGCCGAUAGAGCUAGAAAUGCUCAUACGGGUCCAAGUGGUAAUUUGAUGUGACAUUGUACACUUCUAAAUGUACAUGGCUCGCAUCACAAGAAACAAAGUUUGGGAUGGAACCUUCUUAUCUAAAUGUGUAGUUGAUAACAUGAAACAAAAGUUUGAGAUGGAGCCUUGAAUGUAGUAGCUUCCUAGUGCAGUUACCAUGUCGGAUGGUUUUACUUGGAUGUUGUGAUUUUCCUCGUUUUCUGUGCUUUUACUUAAUGUCACUUGAUUUUCACUAUUGUCUGUCGGCAUCCUCCUACUACAUAAUCAGAGAUAACCUUAAAAACAGUUCGCAUUUUCAGUUUAUGGAACUUGUGGCUUGCAUUCAACAUUCUGAAAACCCAACUUAUUGUUCGUUUCUCUUUUAUACCCACUCGUUGUAGUCUUGCGGAGGGCAAAUACAGAUAAACGUGAUAGAAUUUUGAGAGAUAAUUAAGGUUUUCUAUUGUAUCAAUGCAGAAGCUACGAGCCCAUCAGUUAUCUUCAUCCAAUACCUUGAGUUCCUAGCUAGCCCUGUAAUAUAUAAACAUUAUUAUAGGGCAAACUUACAGAAGAAGAAAGAAUGAAAAAUACUAGUGAUACGUACAUUCUGACGUGGUAACAGUAUCCUCUAAUACUUUUAGAUGUAGAACGUAUAAACAAUACAACUUUAUUGCUAAAGCACAAAGUGCUGAACAAAAGUGUUUCCUAACAUGCUCCAAGCAAUAAAAUAGUUUUCAAACUUUCGUAUUUGGCAUAAAAUGCCAGCCGUGAAUAGAGUGAAUGGAGAAAAAUGUCGUCCAACUAUUGCUUUUAUCGCUUUUCAUCACUUAGUUAUUUUUGUCGCUAAAAAUGUCACACAACUUUUUUUGUAGCUAAAAAAUGUCAUUUAACUUUUUUGUUAACUAAAAAUAUCACUCAACUAUUUAAAGAUAACUUGUCAGUAAUUACGUUAAGUUUGUGCAUCAAAGCCAUGGGAAAGUCACACACGUGACUUGCACGAGAGACCAUUGAAGGGUAAAAAUGGGACAAUUUUGAAAAAUGAACAAUAUUCUCAGUGUCAAAAGUAGUUACAUUAAAGGAUCAAGAACUAUAACUAAAAUACAUAGAAGUCCCAAACUUAUACCUUUUUUUUUUUUUUUUUUUUCCAACAAAGGCUCUCACUCCCAAAAUUGGGCCAUUUGCACGAUACCUAAUGAUGCUAAAAUCUUCACCUGAACUGACUAGAAUACAAUUCACCCAACCUGCUCUUGUAUGUUCUCUGUGGACGUCACCCAAGCUACCGGAGAUUAUUUGUGCUUUUAGGAUUUUUAUUGUUCCACAGGGAGAAAGCUAGAAGUUAGGAGAAGCUGAUAUCAUCAUUUCUGUGCUUUUAGGAAUUAUUAUUAUUAUUAUUUUUUUAGACUCUGACUAUUUUGUCCUGGAGCUCUUUGGGCACAUCAUGCAUGCGAUUUUCCAGUAGCAUACAUGGCCUAAAUUUAAUAGGAUGAGCAAGAAGUUGCGUUGUUUUUAAUAGUUGGGUGACACUUUUUACUGAGGAUUAAAAAAAAAGUUAAGUGACAUUUUUUACUAAGAAAAAGGUUGGGUGACAGAGAGAGAUAAAAGGCGAUAAUUUGAUCACAUUUUCCGCCAUUUGGCCUGAAAAUAACAAUCACAAUAAACAAAUCGUACGAAUGUAAGAAUGGACGGAAACAAUUUCUCCCGGCCCUGGCCCUGGCCCACAUAAGAGCCCAUCUCACAAAGAGCCCUGAAAGUACUUUCGCCACAACAAAGGAAAAAAAGCCGAGUGGCGGGGCAUUCCCUUUUCCAAGGAAAUAUUUUAAGACGAAAUUAUGACCUGAUUAAUAAUCAUCAAUUGAAAUUUGUGACAUAUGACAUUAUACAAAAAAUUAAAAUUAAUUUUUGAUACCUUUUAAAUCUUCACCCAAAAAUAUGCAAUUACAAACUCAAAACAAAAAUUUUCGUUGAAAUGUAAUUUCUAUUGGGAAGGAUGAAAGAGAGAAGAAAGAGAAAAAGAAAUAAAAUAAAGGAAAACAAUAUCAUCUUUUGAUAUUUUCUUGAGAAUAAAAUGAGAAACUAGAAAGGAAAGAGGAAAACCCAAAAUUAAAAAAUUGAAAGGUUAAAAAAAAUUGUAUUUUAGGAAAGUGAUUUGAAUAUUUUUUCUAAUCAUUUAAGGAGAAGAUAGAUCUCUCCAAUUCCUCUUUUUUAAUUUCAAUCAUUAAGGUGAAAAUUUUUGUGGAAAAGAGGAAGAAUUAAAUAAAGAAGAAAGAGAAAAAGAAAUAAAAGAAAAGAAAACAAGGUAAAUAAAAAGUCAAAAUAAUGCAAGGGCAAUUUUGUCUUAAAGGGGGUUAAGUGGGCAAAAUUAAAGGUUAGGGGGUAAACUGAUAAAUGAGAUAUUUUUUAAGGGGAUAAAAUAUGAUUAACCCUUGAUUAUAAGAGUGCCAAAGAUUUCAGUCUUAUCAAGUGAUUGACAAAGAUAGCUGUGUUAUCCUAUACCGCAUGCCCGUGACUGCUAUCAAAACUCUCUAUCAAAUAUUAUUGAUCUAUAAACAUUUUUUUUUUUUAUCGAAACGGUAGUUUUCUAUAUCAUCGUAAAAAUUUUACAGUAACUACACAAGGGUCCAAGCAAAUGUGACAACAGUCCCACAAUAUUCAAAAUAUUGAUAUAAACAUGCCAAAAUAUUUCAUUUAAGAUUUGAUUUCUUUGUAAUAUAGUUCAUAAAUACUUGUGUAAAUUUCUCAUUCAUUCUUGUUCCAGUUGGAGUACAUAAUCAUGGUCCUAGAAGUAUUUAGUUGUGAAGGCUUCAGCUACAAAUGUAUCAGGAUUAAGUUCUUGUUAAGUUGAACGGUUCAAUCGUUUGUCUCCCAUGAUGGACAAGGAGUAGGUGGGUUGUGAGCAGUUCAUUGUUAAAAUACUUAAAACUACCUGUCUACAUUAAGCUAACACUGGCAGCAGUUUUUGUGAUAGGAUUAUAGAGAAUGAGAACAAAUUAACAAGUUCUCAAUUAUUCUGUUUCACUCAUUUCAAGCAGUCAUGAAGGAAAUAGACCAACUCACUCAUGUAUGAUAUAUCCAAGUAGCAUUCAGCAGCUAGGAGGAACUGCAUUGCAUGCGCUUCUUAUUAUUAUUAUUCAAACAAGGGAACACACAAUAACUUACUGGUACAUUUUACAUAAAACGUCGUUGCUCCAAGAGACUUCUAUUCUUGAAGCACAUUUAUUCUUCCUAGACAACUUUUAGUUAUUAGAAGCGCAGAUACGGUUGAUUGAUUCAGCGCCCCUCCUGGUUAAGCUGAACAUUUACGGUUGCCACAGAUACUGCCCAAACGAGGUGAUGGUAUAGCAUUAACAAGUGCAGCAACGAUUUUCUCGACAUUUACUGCAAGAAGAGCAUCAUAACGGUCACUCGAAUCCUCUCCUUCUUCUGCUCCAGCUAAAUUAGCCAGUCCGCGGAUGGCAAUCACUUCUGACUUGCCAUUCGACAAGGAUGUCUGCACAUAACCAAAGACAAGUCAACUUGCUGCUCCCAUGUAUGCACUACUGUUUUCUUGGGGUCAGUUUGAGAGGAUAAAUUUGAGAUCAGAUAUUCAGUUGCAGGGAAGAUUCUUCAAAUUGGUUCUAGUUUGAUGAAGAAACGCUUUCACAAAAGAAUAAAGUAGAAGAAAGCAGUGAGGAUGAAAGUACUCUGGUAACAAGACAAUAAAAAUUACCAUGAAUACUGCUGCGCUCUCCAUAUCAAUGGAUGAAACAUUGAAAGUACUGUGGAGGAAAUUGCUGUAAGCUGCAUUCUCAACAAAAAAGUCGGCAGUUGUGCCCUUGACUCCAAGAACUAGCUUAGGCUGUUUCGGGAGGCAAACGCCAGCUAGGCACAGGUCUAGCUCAAUUCCCUGUUUGAACAAAACUACCACCGUCAGAAUCAAAAAGAAUUUACUAAAUUGAAAUGUGCGAAAGGGGUUAUUUUAUUUUCGCUUGAAAUAGAAUUUGGCAACAUAAAAUAAAGGUAAUUCUAGAUCUGAAUCUGUGCCUUAUUACCUCUAGAGUGGAAGCGAUUUGCAGCAAAUUCUCGGAUGCCGGGAACCAAAAUUUUCUUUCAGGAACAUCAGGCUCUCCUGUCACGGAAAAGAAGUGCUCUUUCAUAUAAGCCACGCGACCCAACAGAUUAAAUCCGAAUGAGGGAAUGUGAUAGCGUCUGAACUCUAGGUCAGCAACCCCAUUAUCUGGCUGUGGUGCUGUCUCGGAUUUCUGCAAUAUGCAUGCAUGCAUGCCCAGAUGAAGAUACACGCAAAAAUGUAAUUCCUCGAAUAUUGAAAAAAAAAAAAACACGUAGAAUAAUUUUGAAGCAAGGAAAGGACUAAAAUUUUGUCCACUUCACAGAAACAUAAAUAAAUAAAGAAAAUGCGGAAUUCAAUUGCACCAUCAGGUAUUUAGACUUUCCAUUAAUCGGAGCUGCUGUCUACUGCAUACGGAGUGAGGAGAAAAGCAUCAUCCAAAUUCAAAAGGCAACUGGUUCAUAAGCCUUGCUUGCGAAUUUCAGUAAUUAGCACAUUUUUCAAGCCUUUUUUCUCUUUCUUUCUUUCCUUUUUUUUUUUUUAUAAGUGAGAGAUCAUAAAUCUAAAAUCUUCUACUUACAGUUCAUUUCACCUUAUCACCCAACUCAACUCUCCCCUCUUCAACGUUUUGUUUCCACGGUUCUUUUAUCAAGUUGAGUGUAGUGAUUGAAUUGUUGGCAGUUGGCGCUGAUUGUGUGCGCUUGAUUUUGAGAAUCAUUCUCAUUGAAAACGCUUAGACGCUUAUGCUUUAUGAAUCUUUAGGUUUUACCUUUAAGGGAAAAAAAAAAAAAACAAAGAAACAAAGGAAUUAAUAUUACCAGCCAGUCCCAUAAUCCAGUUUGAGAAAACUGCGUUGGGAUUAAAACAUCUCCUAAGGACAGGGAACUGUCGGCGCCGCCCGCACUGCCAUAGUGUAUAACUGCUCUAAUUGGGAAGAUGUCCAACAGUAGUUGGGUCGUUGCUGCAGCAUUCACCUGAUUAAUCCAAUCCAAGCAAAAUUAUUGAAACCUUUUUUUUACUCGUACAAAAGCUCCCAAACUAACGAAGGGUGGCAAAACUAGAAACUGGAACCCAUUGGAACUCAAUCACGCUUACCAGGCCAGUUCCACAUCCGACGAUAAUGACACCAUUAGACCCUAUGGUCCCGAUGUGAAAACGCCUGCCUGCAAUGAAAUAAAUUAUUAGGUGAUAAAAAGUCAGCAACAAAUUUCGAUCAUUAUUAUGAGGAAGCUAGGAAAAAAAAACAGUAGUGGAAUUAAUGGUUGCGUAGCAGAUUUAAUGCAUGGGAAAUAUAUAUUUAUAUAUAUAGAUAUUUGCCUGACAAAUCCACGUAGGGGAAAUCUGGAUCAGGCUUGAAGGCACCAUCAACAGAAAAGGGUGUCUCCUGAUUGCCGCUACCAGAGGAGAUAAGACCAAGAAAAGGCGGUCUAACAGACAACUCCUUGAUUGCCCGAGGCAAAGGAGCGGCUAAAACAUUGACCGCUAGAGAAGAAAUCACAACUGAAACCAGUAAAAGCAAUUUCGUUUGUUUUCCAGCCAUUUUAUGCUACUUGUAUCGCUCUCCUAAUCUCCUUGCUCUCUCAACUCGACUGCAUGGUGCCUAUUUAUAGCACAAAUUGCGGUAAGAUUUGCCAGCUACCAUCUGUAAAUACACUCUUUUAACUUUUCACCACAAACCAUAUUCUCUCCUGCGUUAUUAAUAUUGUCGCUUUCCAAAUUAUGUUUCUGGGUCCAAAUUAACCGCACCGUCAGAAACAAAUUGACUCGCUAAAGUCAGUAAUCAGUAAUGUGGUCCAACAUUUCAAUUAUUUUCACAAGAAUUAAGGUCUACCAGUUGUAGCACUUCCUCGAUCAUCAGAUAUCAUUACUUACAAGUCAUAAUAUGGUUAUCAUUUCAUGUUCUUUGCAACCAGCCACACUGUAAUCUCAGACAUGCUUCCUUAAACAUGGACCGAAUUGUGUUGUUAAAAGUUUAAGCAUUAAAAAAAAAAUUUUGAUUUUGAUGCAUCAUUUAACUACACGGUUUCCUAAUUCUUUAAAAAAAAAAAAAAACCUAACAAGUAUGCCUGAAAUUUCAGAGCUUUCGAGGAAGCAAACGGCUGGCUUUCUGGCCGAUGAUUGAUGACUAAGGAUUUUUUUUUUUUUUUUUUUUUGGUGAAUGAUUGAUUGAGGUAGGAGAUGGAGAUAGGCCAUAUGCAUCACGCGCUAUAAAUACUAGUGGUAAGAAUAAAAACACCAUUUUUUUUGCUUUGAGCUGCAAAAGAAAAGAAUAAGAAUAAAUUAAUCAGAUUUAAAUACAUGUCACGUCCGGUAGAUAUUAAGUGCUUGUUCCGAGCUGGUUAUUAUUGUCAAGUUUGUUAGCUAUGGAACACAAGCCCAACACCAACGUGGAGAUUGAAGAUGUUAUGUUUCACAAAAAAGCAUUGUAUAAAGGCACACAUUGAUAUUAGUUAAUUAGUAAGUACUCUUUUUUUAAGAAAAAAAGAAUUAAAGUUAUUUAACUCCUUGACGACUGAAAUUCGUGACCCCUCAGUUACGAAUAAAGUGUGUGUUUUACCAAUUAAAUCACGUUACAUUAUCUUACACAUUGAUAGUUGUAGGCCUUGAACAAGAAAAAUAUUAAGUUGAAGCAAUCAAGUGAAACUUGUAGUGCAAGGGAGUUGAUAUUCAUACUAAUCUAAGUGCACAUAGCUCGCAUAACAUGAAACAAAGUUUGACAUGGAAUUGGAACAAAAUUGUUUCCUAAGAUGCUCUAUGCAAUGAAAUACCCUUAAAACUUUGGUAUUUGACAUAAAAUGCCAGCCAUGAAUUCAACAAUCACAAUAAACAAAUCGUGCAAAUGUUAAAAGUUAAAAUGCCUGAAAUCAAUUUCUUGUGGCCCGCAUAAGAGCCAAUGUCACAAAGAGCCCUAAAACUACUUUCGCCACAAUAAAAGCGUGCGAAAGAAAGAAGCCAUAUAUGCUUGGAGCUGAGUGACAGGGCUGUCCCUUUCUAACCAACGAAGAUAAGAUAGAAGGGGCCGAUCGAGCUAGGAGCCUAGGAAUGCUCAUACGGGUCCAAUAUGUGAGCUGAUGCAACACUGUACACUUCUAAAUGUACAUAGCUCGCAUAACAUGAAACAAAGUUUGAGAUGAAACCUUAUCCAAAUGUAGUCGCUUCCUAGUGCAAUUACCACAUCGAAUGGUUUUACUUGGAUGUUGUGAUUUUCCUCAUUUCCUAUCCUUUUACUUAGUGUCACUUGAUUUUCACUAUUGUCUGCCCGCAUCUUCCUACUACAUAAUCAAAGAUAACCUUGAAAACAGUUCAUAUUUUCUAUUCAUGAAAAAUUGUUUGUGGAACUUGUGGUUUGCAUUCAACAUUCUGAAAAGCUAACUUAUACUAGUUCGUUUCUCUUUUAUACCCACUCGUUAUAGAUAGUUGUGCAGACGGCAAAUAUAGAUAAACGUGAUAGAAUUUUGACAGAUAUAGGUUUUCUGUUGUAUCAAUGCAGGAGCUACGAGCCCAUCAGUUAUCUUCAUCCGAUACCUUGAGUUCCUAGCUAGCCCUGUAAUGCAUGAACAUCAUAGGGCAAACCUACAGAAGAAGAAAGAAUGAAAAAUAGUGAUACGUACAUUCUGACGUGGUAACAGCAUCCUAUAAUGCUUUUAGAUGUAAAACGUAUAAACAAUGCAACUUUGUUGCUAAAGAACAAAGUGCAGAACAAAAUUGUUUCCCAAAAUGCUCCGAGCAAUAAAAUAGUUUUGAAACCUUCGUAUUUGGCAUAAAUUGCCAGCCGUGAAUAGAGUAAAUGGAGAAAAAUGUCGUCAAACUGUUACUUUUAUCGCUUUUCAUCACUUAGUUAUUUUUGUAGCUAAACAAUGUAUACACUAUUAUCGUUGGAUACAUGACAUGUGUAUGAAAGUUGAAUUUCAAAUUCAAAUUUUGCAUAAUUGUCAAUCAUCCAAUGCUGAUAGUUGUCAAAUUCAAAUUUUACAUAGUUAUUAAUCAUCCAACGCUGAUAGUGUAUACACUGUCAGUUUUGGAAAGAUUAAUCCAUUUUUUUUUUUUUAACAAAGGCUCUCACAGUCUCACUCCCAAAAUUGGGCCUUUUGCACGAUACCUAACGAUGCUAAAAUCCUCACCUGAACUGACUAGAAUACAAUUCACCCAAGCUGCUCUUGUAUGUUCUCUGUGGACAUCACCCAAGCUACCAUGACAGCUACCGUAGAUUAUUUGUGCUUUUAGGAUUUUUAUUGUUCCACAACGAGAAAACUGUAGUUAGGAGAAGCUGAUAUGAUUUUUUUUUUAAAGACUCUGACUAUUUUGUCCUUAGAGCUCUUUGCGCAUAUCAUGCAUGCGAUUUUCUAGUAGCAUUUAUAGCCUAAAUAUAAUAGGAUGACCAAGAAGUUGCAUUGUUUUUAAUAGUUGGGUGACACUUUUUAGUGAGGAUAAAAAAAAAGUUAAGUGACAUUUUUUACUAAGAAAAAAGUUAGGUGACAGAGAGAGAUAAAAGGUAAUAAUUUGAUCACAUAUUGCACCAUUUGGCCUGAAAAUAACAAUCACAACAAACAAAUCGGACAAAUGUAAGAAUGGACGGAAACAAUUUCUCCUGGCCCUGGCCCUGGCCCGCAGUAGAGCCCAUCUCACAAAGAGCCCUGAAAGCACUUUCGCCACAGCAAAAGCGUGCAAAAAAAAAAAAGCCAAGUGGCGGGGCUGUCCCCUUCCGACCGACGGGAAAAACAUAAAAGCCAAGCGAGGAUAGGAAUCCUCGCAUGGGUCCAUUAUUGUUUUAAAUUAAAACCGUGCAAGUGGAUCGACGUUGCUAUCUUCAACCCGGACCGUUAAUUGAACCGGUGAAGUAAAAGGAUCGAAAUUCAAUCUGUCGUAUCGGUUCAACCUCGGUUCAAUGAAUUUUUUAAAAAAUAAUUUAUAUAAAUAUAUAUAUGCACAAAAUAAGACAUGCAAUAAACUAAUUUAAAACUUUAUAUGAUGAAAAGUUUACUAUUUUUGAAUAACUUGGAUUUUCAAAAAUAAAUUUUUUAAAUUAUAAGUUAAAACAAAUAAAUUUAUUUCAAUUUCAAUUAUAUCUAGCAAAAUAAUCUUAAAUCUAACCCAAAAAUAUCACAAUAUUUUAAAAUUAUACAAAAUUCACGUCUAUGAGAAUUUGACAUUGUGAACUUAAAUUUUAAUUUACAUCUUUGGGAUUUAGAGAUUGCAAUUUAAAAAAGAAAGUUUGGAGUUCAAGGGAAGUCAAGAGAAUUGAAAACAGAAAUGCAAACUUGAUAAGAAAUAAAAAAUGAGAUAAAAGUGAGUGGUUGUAGUAUUAAAUAAUUUGGGUUAAAGAAAAAUAAUUCUUUUUUAACUUUUUUCAAUUUAAUGGACAAAAACAAAAUUAAAAAGAUGGAAGAAAACAUCAAUAAAUUAAAACUAAAGAGAUUUGAUUAAAAAGGGAGUGACAAAAAAAAAAGGAGAGAGAAAGAGUUGAAGAUUAAAAAGAAAAAGUCAUGAGAGAAUGAGAUUUUGUAAGAAAAAUGAAAAAAAAAAUAUGGAUGUUUGUUUUAUAUAUAUAAGUUAUCAAAAAAAACAAAUAAGAUAUGAUGGUGCAAUAAAACCCUACAUUGGUCUUCUGUUACAAAAGUCUUGAGUUCAAAUCUUGAUAGAAGUAUUUUGCAAAACUUAAAAAAAAAAAAAAAAAAAAAGAGGGGAAACUUGAAAAUCGGUUCGAUCCGGUUUAGCGAUUUUCAAGAUUUUGAUCGGUUUUCUGACAAAGUCAACACUAUCAUAGAAUCGGAUCGAUACCAUGGCCGGUUCACAAUUCAACCGAUCAAACCGACCGAUCCGAUGCAGUUUUCAAAACACUGGAUUCCACAAGGAGAUAAGGAAAUCGCCACUAGGCCUUUGGCCUGGUGGUCACCACCAACUUGCUACUUUUUUUUUGUCUUUGCUAAUUUCUCAUUUUUUUCUUCGUCUCUCUCUCCCUCUCACACACACACACACACACAAAGAGACACACAUCCCCCCAAACAUGCCAACCUCGGACUCACAUUCCCUUUCUUCCUUUAUGUUUACAUAAAUUCUCUCAUAAAGCAAGGCAUCUCUUCGUUCCAUCAUUUUCUUACCCUUUAAUCUCAGCCUUGACUCCCUGUUUCUUUUUUCUUGUCUCUCUAUCCCUUUCCUUUUAUAUUUUUUUACUUGGCAAGCAUUCUCUGUUGAUUCCUAUGAAGACAUAUUUCCACCAUCAUUCUUGAUCUCUUUAUUAUCAAUUUAAAGGAGUAAAACACAGUUCGAGGUGGGAUUUAUUUUUUUCUGUUGUACAUGCACUUCACUAAGAACAGUACAAAACGGACUAUCCAAAAUGUAAUGAACUUUUACUCCACUUACAAUCUUAUUAAGAACUUCCCAACUGCGACAACAGCAGUUUCCCAUAUCUAACAAUCUUCGUGUAUCAUAACUAUGUUUCUCACAAAUUCUUUUUAUAGAGCCAUCCGGAUGUUUUUUUAGGUUGAAAGCCAUCCAAAUUUUAUUAGAAAAUCAACUAUUUUUAAAUACUUAUUCAUAUACCUUUAACUGUUCAACUGCAACAUCGUCCAUGAAUAUCAUAGCAAGUCUAAAUUCAUGAAAUUGCUCUAAUAAAGCAUGAAAUUACCAAUUGACAAAACUUCUGAUAGCGAGAUAUGCCCAUGCAUUACAUUUCUUAAGGUCUGACAUUAAUCGAAGGCAAUAACAAAUUGCCAAACAAACUGCGCAUGAUAAUCCUCUACCACAAAUUAAUUGAGGAUGAAAAAGUCAGGUACUAAAUGAUUCAAGCUUUCAUCAAUCCGUAAACAAUUCCUAAUCUUCUAAGCAAAUCCGAGUUCCAAAAUUUUCAACUCUCAUUUUCAAUAAUAUCUUUUUUGUUUGACAAAUGUGCUAAGCUGCUGACUCUGACAAUCUACCGAUGAAAAUGAAUAAAAUUCAAUUAGACAUUAAAAUGAAUUACAUACAAUUCUGAGAGCCCCGGCAAAGCGAGCUAGAGAGGAAGCAGAUGAUGCGAGUUUUACCGAGGGAGGGAACGGCAGGUGGAAGAGAAAAGCCGAGCUCGGAGAAGGGAAGGUGCUCGAGAGAUCACCGGAUUUCGGAGCCUAGAUAGCGCCAUGGAUCAUCCGCAAGCAGAUUCGGGCUCUAAGUUUUCCCUGCCUUCGUUAUGCAGAAGAUUACAGAGUAUGAAUUAAACUCAGUUAAUAUGUUAGUAUGUUAAUCAAAAGGGAGUUGAACAAAGUCGAAGAGGGGCUCUUCUUUUAUUACUAAUUAAUUUUUGGGUGUGGAAUUAAAUGAAAAGUUUUUUAUUCUUUUUCUUCGGAAUCCGUACUAAUUGUAAUGGUAACUUGUCAAACUAACCCCUCUUAUUCAUGCUUUAAAGAGAAAUUAAAAAUAGUUUUUUGAAAGCUUACUUUUUUUGUCUUUUUUACGGAAGAUACAAUUUGUACAUGCAAAUGCAGUCAAGAGAGAUGUUUAAGUAAUAGUAUGAGAAAUAAAAAGAUAAAUAAAAGGAUUAUUAUCACUUUACCUCCUUAAACUAUAUCAUUACUGUUAAUUUAUCCAUUAAUAUUAUCUUUUAGUCAUUUCACCCCAUAGGUGUUUUCAGACUCAGAUCGGGCAUCAACUCGAUCAAACUUAGGGGUCGAUCGGGGUUGAACCGGAUGAUAUCAUAAUUAAAAAUUAAAAUAUUGUAUGUAAAAUACUUAAGAGGAUAUUAAUAUUAAUAAAUGUAUAUUCAUAUAUAUUUGAUGUUUCAAAUAUAUUUAAGAAAAUACAAAGGAAUUAGAAUGAUCAAGUAGCAAUUUAUAUUAUUAAAUGAACAUUAACAAGUUUAGAAUUAAAAUUAUGGAUUUGAUUGAAAAAUAACACUAAACUUUAGGACAACAUGAAAUAUUUGAGAUAUAUUAAUAAUUUUUAACAACCUUGAGGCCAAAAUAUAUUAUUGAAAAUGCUUUGACCUUUAAAAAAAAAAAAAAAACUUGACAUCAAACUGGUUCAUCCAGUUUGCCGAGUUUUUAUACAUCCAAUCUUUUGGAGUAACUCAAACCGAACACUUCACCGGUUUCAAUUUGACCGGUCAAACCAGUCGGUCCGGUCCGAGUUUAAAAACACAACCCAUAAGUAAUUCAACUCAGUAUGUUAAUAAAAUUUUGACAAAAAUAUCCUUUUAUUUUAUAACAUUACUGCAUUGUUAUUAUCACUUUAUCCCUUUAAAUUAUGGUGAUAUAAUCGCUUUAUUUUCUAGAUAUUUUACCUUAUCAUUAAUCUAAAAAGUAUGUUUAAAAAUUUUUAAAUGUAUUUAUCUUUUUUAUAUAUAAUUAAAAAUAAUAAGGUUGUAAUAAUUAUUCUUCAUUUUUUCGACUCUAAGAUUUCAAAAACAUAGCAAUAAAAGGGUUUUUUUUAAUUUCUUUUUUCACACUUAUUAAUACUAGGAAAAGAAAAGGAGAUAGGACAAAGGAGUCAAAAAAUUAGAUUUUGCAAAUAAAGAAAAUAAGGAAGAAUAUAAUAUUAUCGUAUUAUUUUAAUAUUUUCGGAAUUAGGAUUGGAAUUGGGUAAUAAACAGAAAAGUAAAAGUAAUUUCAAAAUAAUAAAAAUAUUGAAUUCUUUCUUAUUUGUAUUAAAAAAAGAAUUGUGCUCUCUCCCUUUCCCUCCCCUAUUUUUCUUUUUUUUUUUAAUAUUAAUAAGAUUGUCAAGAAGAAAGAGAUUAAUGUUUUGACUUUUUUUCUUGAUACUAAAAAGGAGAAGAGUCAUUCUAAAUUUUUUAUUGUUUUUAUUAUAUAAAAAGAGGGUACUAUCUUCUAAAAUUUUUUAACUUAUUAAGCUGGUUUAAUGGUAGGAUAAAUUGAUAACAAGAUUAUAGUUUAUGGGGGUAAGGUGAUAAUAAUUUUAACGGUUAAACAUGUCUUAUCACUUAGAUUAAUAAAUUCCGUUAAAUUUGAUCAUUAGUCUUGAGGGUAAAAUGACUAAAAAAUAACGUUAAGGGGGAAAUUGAUAGUAAGACCCAAUGUUGAGGGGGUAUAGUAAAGUGAUAAUAACCCUAAAUAAAAAGGAAUUCAUUUUACAAAUUUUAGUUGCACAAAAAUUAACUAAAUUACAUGAAACAAAACCAACCAAAUGGAUGCACUUAUUUUUAAUUCCACUAUUUUUAACUUAAAUUAGAAAAUCCCUUUCAUAAUUUCCCUACUUUGUUAGUUUUCCAUAUGAAAAAAACUCCAACUUUGGUUUCCAUAUGGCAUCAAAACUGGAAAACAGAUAUGUACAACAACAAUUGUAGGCCUACACAGGAAGGGUGAAGAAACAAGAGUGAGAAACCCUAGUAAUGUGGAACCAUCUGAAUUAAACUGCUAAAGAAGGUGAACAACAGACAAUGAAAACCUUGAUCGUAUAUUCUUGGUUUUGGUUUACAAUUUCCCACACCAAUAUGCAUUUGAUUAUAAGGAUGCUGAAUAUUUUAAUCUUAUCAAGUGAAACACUAAGUGUUUUCCUUUGCCGCAUGCCUGUGACUGCUAUGAAACUUUUUUAUCAAAUAUUGAUCUAUACAUGCCAUAAGUAACUUGUAAAUUUUAUUCAAGAUUUGAUUUCUUUGUAAUGUAGUUCAUAAAUACUUGUGUAAAUUUCGCAUUCAUUCUUUUUUCUAGUCGGAGUACAUAAUCAUGGGCCUAGAAGUAUUUAGUUGUGAAGGUUUCAGUUACAAAUCUAACCAUAAUACCUGUUACUUUCAAGAUCUCUCAAUAUGAAAGAAACACAGAAAAAUGCUUCACCCAAGAUUGGCCUUGGAGGAAUGGCAAGAAAUUCUUAUUCGAAAUGUGAGAAAACGCUUUGAUGGUACAUGUUUAUUCCAAAAAGCCUUCAGUGCACAAUGAAGUCAGUCUAGUUUUGUUUCUUUGUUUAUUAGCAAAUGAGUUCUCAAACUCCUCUUGAUUAACUUGAAUCUCUGUUGCGGCUAAAUAGACUGUUGAAAGUGAAAUCCUCGCAAUGUCUUCACAAAUUGGACAACAGCCUUGGCUACAUUUGAUGCUGCAAGAGGGCCAAACAGACGAAUAGUAUUGUCUCCAUCUUGUGCUCCAGCUAAAUCUGACAGUCCUCGUAUGACAAUUACCUUGAAGCCAUUCGAUAAACAUGUCUGCAAUUCCAGAAAACAUGAACAUAACAAGUUAUCUUGACUAGUAAUUAUGCGCCCCGAGUUUCUAAGCAGAUAUAUUCUUCAGAUUAGUUUUGGUGCGAGGCGUUUACCAUGACUAUGACUGCACUCUCCAUAUCAAGUGAUGAAACAUGAAAAGUUGUAUAGAGGAACUCCCUGUAAGCUGCAUUGUCCACAAAAAUGUUGGCAGUUGCGCCAUUCAGUCCAACAACUACCUUGGGCUUUUCAGGAAGGCACAAGCUCGAGUUCACGCACUGUUCCAGCGCCAUCCCCUGUAUUAGUGAAAAUGCAUCCAUUAGAUUCAAGGGCUAGUUGAAGACAACUUAAGAGGAAAAAAAAUGUUUUAGGCAGCAGCAAUUAGCUGGCUGCAAAGCGAAUGAGGAUGUUACGUAUUAGCGAUAAGCAACCCACCUCCAGACUAGAAGAUACUUCUAGCCAAUUCUGACUUGUCUGAAACCAAAGUGUUCUUUCAGGAGCAUUAGGCUUUCCUGACUUAAGAGUAGAAGAACUCCGUCCAAUACCCAAUGCUCCCCAACUCAUUGUCUCCUCCAUUGGGAACAUCACAGCUUCCAAAGUCCAGUUCAGCAACAUCAUUUGUCGGUAUUGUUGCCUUGAAUUUCUGCAAAAUGAAGAGAUUGUACGCAAAUAAACUCGUAGUCUGCAUAUACUGAGGCAGGAAAUGAGCCAAAUGAUUAUUACCACCCAGUCCCAUAACCCUGUUUGAGCAAACUGCUUAGGGAUGAUGACAUCUCCCAUGGACAUGGAACAGUUAACAUUGCCUGCAAUGCCAAAGUUUACAAUUCCAAUCAUGCGAAAGACAUCCAACAUCUGUUGUGUUGCAGCUGCAGCAUUCACCUGGGCGUACUACAAUUAGACAUUUCUUGAGGUAGUACUACUUAACAGAAAAAAAACAAUGGCCGAAAUAGAAAAAUUCUUUAUUGCCAGCAAAUCCUUCAGUGAUUAACAGAAAAAAUCCUUCAGUGAUUAUCAACAUGAAUAGCUGAGCAAAUGAAAAUGAUUUUGCCAGCACUGAAGCUCUUAAGCAAGCAGUAUCUUUGCUUACGCGUUAAAUACUUCUGUCCAACCUUACCGAUCAACUCAACUUUAUGAUUUGUGAACUAGAUUGGCCAGUGAACUAAAACACCAUAGUUGCUGAUCACAAAUCAUAACAACUACAAGCAACUAUCUGUAAUAACCAGACCAGAAGAAUGUGAAAUGAACCUACCAUUCCCACUCCACAUCUUACAUAAAUGACUUUUGAUCCUUCUAUGCUCCCUACGCGAAACCGCCUCCCUGUAAGAAACCAACCACCAUUUUCAAUCAUCAUAAACGAUACACUUGCUCUCUUAGUACCAUAUUGAAGCGUAUGUAUUGGGGAUUGAUCAUGUACCUGACAAAUUCACAAAAGGGUGCUUCGGGUUAUGCUUGAAGGCACCAGUAGCGAAAAAAGCAUCUUCUUCUGGGCUAUAAACCGUAAUAAGACCAAGAUAAGGUCGCAUUUUUUUUAAGAGUGUUAGUGCUGUCCUUCACAGUCAGCAAAUAAUCUUCAUUUGUCAAAGUUGAGAAGCGUUCUUAGGCACGUUUGUCAGUAGUUUCACAGUUCAAGACUUUAAUGUAAUUCGGGUCCAAUAUGGCAUCGGCCAAAAUUUAGACAUUGUAAUUGAAACAUUUAAAAACCCUUUUCAAGCUCUAGGAAGUACGAAGCACGUACAAAUCUGCCAUCAUUUUUUUGGUAAAAUGGUACGUCAAUAGUUGAAUUUUGCCUUGCUUUUGUGUACCAUUAUUAUUCUAAUAGAGUAAAUCUUAUAUACAAUAAUGGUAUAUAUAUUAUCACUGUUGAAUAUAUGACAUAUAUGCAAAAUUUGAGUUUCAAAUUCAAAUUCGGAUUACGUGUCAUGCAUCUAAUUAUAAAAGUGCGUACACUGCCAGUGUAUAGAAGAUUAAUAUUUAUUAAUAACUUAAAAUUAUUCCUUGGACCAACUCAUGUUAAUAGCAAAUCUAAUUGUUUAGGCACUGGUUUAGCUCAAUUUCCUGUUUGAACAAAACUACCACACUUAGAAUCAAAAAGAAUUUACUACAUUGAAAUGUGCGAAAGGGGUUGUCUCAUUUUCGCUUGAAAUAGAAUUUGGCAACUUAAAAUGAGGGUAAAGAGAAUGUUAAUUCUAGAUGUGAAUCUGUGCCUUAUUACCUCUAGCAUGGAAGCGAUUUGCAGCAAAUUCUUGGACGCCUCGAACCAAAGUUUUCUUUCAGGAGUAUCAGGCUUUCCUGUCUCGGAAAAGAAGUACUCACUCCAAUAAGCCACGAGACCCAACUGAUUAUAUCCGCCAGCGGGAAUGUGAUAGCUUGCGAACUCUAGCUCAGCAGCAUCAGUAUCUGGAUGUGUUGCUACCUUGGGUUUCUGUAGUAUGCAUGCAUGCCCAGAUGAAGAUACAUACAAAAAUGUAAUUCCUUGAAUAUUGAAAAAAAAAAAAAGAAACACGUUCAAUACUUUUGAAGCAAGGAAAGGACUAAAAUUUUUUCCACUUCACAAUAAAAUAAAUAAAUAAAGAAAAUGAGGAAUUCAGUUGCACCAUCAGGUAUUUAGGCUUUCAUUAAUUGGAGCCGCUGUCUACAGUCUACUGCAUAUGGAGGGAGGAGAAAACCAUCAUCCAGAUCCAAAAGACAACUGAUUCUUAAGCCUUGCUUGCAAAUUUCAGUAAUUAGCACAUUUUUCACAUUUUUUCUCACAUUUUUUUCGUAAGUGAGAGGUCAUGAAUCUAGGUGCUUCUACUUGUCAUUCCUCCCAUCUUACAAUACAAUCCAACCCUUCCCUCUCUAGCAUUUUGAUUCCUGAGGAUGGUUAUUCCAGCUCGGGUAUCCCGAGGUCUCGCCCAGUAAUAUCUCUUGAAGCGCCACCUCGGCGGUUAUCAGUUGGGGUGACAUCCACCUCAUUACCGUCUCGACUAACAUCCGUAGCCGAGGUGACACCAGGGCAUCCGACAAUUGUAGAGAGGUGAGAUGUGACCUCUGACACCCCUGACACCUCCGACGCUUGACGGAAAGCUGCUCUGACACGCCGUCUGAACCUGACGGAUGUCCCAUCACGUCCUUUCAUAGAGAUCAGUCAAGUCCAUCAGAUGCAAUGACCAUAUCAGAUCUUUAGGGACCCGUGCUGGCAGUCCCUCUCUCCUAUCCGUCUUCUAUAAAUACUCAACACCUUUACUGAGAAGGGGCAUGACCAAUUUUCUGGUAACACACUACUCCCUUCUAUUACACUAUCUCUUCAUAACCGAACUAACUUGAGUUUCGGAGUUAUAACAGGGGAUCCAGCCCCUCUUUCAACCUAAGCAGGUGACCUCGUCCAAGAGAACUGCCCAGGAUAAAAAUACUUCUCUAGUGCGGGUGACUCACUCCAACGGGACGAAAAUCACCUCUUCAAUUGGCGCCGUCUGUGGGAACCCGAAGACAUCAGAAUAUGAAGCCUGCGCGUUCAAGGAGCCGAAAAGCUCUCACUAUUGGGGCUGAGCAAAGCAACGCAGCCCACCAGGAAGACAUCUCUGAAGGGCAGGAGUCCCCAAGGACUCAACCCGCCAACGAAGAAGCCAUAACCCGUAUGGCCGAGUUUGUAAACGAAAACCCCAACAUCUUUGAGGAGUUGGGUAGGUACCUUAAGAGGCAAGACAAACAGAAGGCUGAAUCCUCUAAAAGGAAGUCGGAUGGAUCUCCUGAAAACUCAUCUGAAGAGGAGUCGGAUGGGAGGCGCCUAAGCCGAAGUGCCUCAAAACGGGCAUUCUCCAAGACCACCUCUAAGGUAGCCUCAUUGACAAAGGCCUUUUCCCGAGGACUCUUGGGACGGCGACCUGAGGAAGAACCUCGGCCCCUGGGAAUACCCGGGGUGAAUUACAUGAGGGCUUCACCCUUCACUGAUGACAUCAAUUAGGAAAGGCUUCUUCCAAAUUUCAAGCUCCCCGCGAUACCGUCUUAUGACGGCCGAGGUGAUCCUGAGAAUCACAUUCACGCCUUCAUCUCGGCCUUCCGCUUAUACUGCAUCCCUGACCCUGUCAUCUGCCGGGCUUUCCCAGUGUUCCUCCAGGGGACUGCUCGAAAAUGGUUCUGAAGAUUAGAACCUAGGAGCAUUUCAACCCUGGGAGAAUUGGUGGAGAGAUUUCUCCAUCGGUUCAUCUCCUCCCGACCUACGACCCGGACCUCAACUUACUUGCUGAACCUGCAGCAGAAUUCGGGAGAGUCACUUCGGUCGUAUGUCCAGAGGUUUCAUGAUGAGAGUGUACAGAUACCUGACCCCAAUGAGCAGGUUACCAUCGCUGCCUUUACCCAUGGGCUCGUCUCCGGAGUGUUCAACACGAAAAUUCACAAAAAAUAUCCCCGCACUCUCCACGAGCUGUGGUUAAAGGUCGAGAAGGGCAUACAAGCUGAAGACCUCAACCGCAUGAAGAAGGAGAUCCAAGCCACCCGCCCAAAGGCUGACCCUCGAAGGGGGAAAGAUGUUGGCCGAAGUGAAGCCGGGACAGGGAGUACUUUCCAAAGUCCUGGCCGAAAUCGCCGCAGCAUGUUCGACAGGAUUUCCAAGGGGAAAACAUUCAUCCCUGAGUCCGAACUGACUCCCUUGAACACCACUCGAUCUCGGGUGUUGUCCGUAAUAGAACAGAACAAUCUCGGGAAAGCACCUCCCAAGAUGUACGGCAGCAGGGAUAAGAGGAACUCGAACCUCUACUGCCUAUACCAUCGAGAUAUAGGGCAUGAAACCGAGGACUGCAACGAUCUCAAGAGGGAGAUCGAGAACCUCAUCCGACAAGGACACUUGAAGCAGUUCAUCCGCCGAGGUGGAGGUCAUCAGUGUGACGAAAACCGACGUGAUAGACGAGGUGACCAACGCCGAGACGAGAGGCGGACGUCAAGAAGCAGCUGCUGGCCUCCUGAGGAUCCUAGGGAGACAAAAAGGCCUCCCCGAGAUGGAUCUUCAGGCCAGGGGCUAGGGUAUGGGCCAAACAUUGCCGGAAUCAUUAACACUAUUGCCGGAGGUCCGACGGGAAGAGAUAGCCAGAACUCCCGGAAGAGAACCUACAGGCAAGCUAACCCGGAUCAGGUAGAGUCGAGUUCUCGCCUAUCCGAAGUCAUUUCCUAUGGCCCUACCGAUCCUGUCCCAGCCGCCUCGAGUAGCCACGAGGCACUAAUAAUCGAGGUGCUCGCUAACAAUUACAUCGUUAAGAAAGUUUACAUUAACCCCGAGAGUUCGGUAGAUGUCAUGUAUCUCCGCACUUUUGAGAGUCUUAAGUUGGCUAGGGAGCACAUGACUCCGGUGCGGACUCCCCUUGUAGGGUUUGGGGGACACAUCGUCCACCCCGAGGGAAUUGUGACCCUGACGGUGACCGUGGGGCACCACCCCCGCUGCCGAACUAUCCCUGUGAACUUUGUGGUGGUUAAGGCCGACUCCCCAUACAACUUGCUCUUAGGUCGACCCACUCUUAAUGCUCUGCGGGCGGUGUACUACACCUACCACUUGAGUUUCAAAUUUCCUACCAUCGCGAGAAUCGCCGAGGUCAGUAGCGACGUCUGCGCUGCUCGGGAGUGUUACCUCGCCACCUUACAAGCAGCCUCCACAUCGACCGCCGAUGUGAGACCCGAGAAGAGGUCAAGUAUUCUCUCGAUAGAUUGUAUUGAUUCUCAGCAACCCGAGAAGAUCCCAAGGCUGGAAACUGGGGAUGAGGUGGAAGAGAUUCCCCUGGACCCCACGAAACCUGAUCGGAUGGUCCGCGUCGGCACUUAACUGCCGGGCCCGAUUAAAAGAGGUAUGGUGGAUCUCCUCAGAGAGUAUCGGGACGUCUUCGCUCGGGUCGCAGAUGAGGUUCAAGGAGUUCCGCACCACCUCAUGAUACAUGAGCUGAAUGUCGACCCCAAAGUCCGCCCGGUUAAACAGAAAAGAAGGCACCUCGGUCCUGAGCGCAGCCGAGCUGUGCAUGGCGAAGUGGACAAACUCCUGCCCGCGAAGAUAAUCCGAGAGGUCCAAUAUCCAACAUGGUUAUCUAACCCAGUCAUGGUCAAGAAGGACAUCGAAACUUGGAGAAUGUGCGUCGACUUCACCGAUCUCAACAAAGCUUGUCCCAAGGACUGCUACCCAUUGCCCAAGGUCGACAUCUUGGUGGAAUCGGCGAUGGGUUAUGAGGUCCUUUGCUUUUUUGAUGCCUUCAAGGGGUAUCACCAGAUCGGAAUGAGUCCAGAAAAUCAGGAGAAAAUUGCCUUCUACACUAACUAGGCAUAUAUUGUUACACCACCAUGCCUUUCGGACUGAAGAACGCCGGGGUUACGUAUCAACGCUUGGUUAACCAAGCUUUUAAAUCUCAGAUCGGCAGGAUUGUCGAAACCUACGUAGAUGAUAUCCUUCUCAAGAGCCACACGACCUCCACAUUCCUUUCCGACCUAAAAGAAGUCCUGAAAGUCCUUCGGGAGACGCGAAUGAUGCUAAACCCCAAGAAAUGUGUUUUCGGGGUCACUACGGGGAAGUUCUUGGGCUAUCUCGUCUCCAGACGGGGUAUUGAAACAAAUCCGGACAAGGUAAGGGCAAUCCAAGAAAUGUCUCCACCUCGAUGUGUCCGCGACAUCCAGAGGCUGACAGGGCGGUUGGUCGCCUUGAACCGGUUCUUAUCGCAAUCAGCCUCCAAGGCACUGCCAUUUUUCAAAGUUCUCAAGAAGGCCGACAACUUUUCCUGGACUAAAGAGUGUCAACAGACGUUUGAGCAUCUAAAGGAAUACCUCAACCACCUCCCAACACUCACCUCACCUCGCUCGGGGGAUAAGUUAUUCUUGUACCUAUCUGCUGCAGCCGAAACUGUAAGUGUCGUGCUGAUAAGGGAGGAAGGUGUACAAAUGCCUGUUUAUUAUGACAGCCAAGUCCUCCGAGGUCCGGAGACCAGAUACACUCAGGCGAAAAAGCUUGUGCUGGCCUUAAUCCAUGCAGCUCGUAGGCUGAAACCAUACUUCUUAGCCCACCACGUUAGCUUGAGGACUGACCAACCAAUUCGGCAAGUCUUAUCACGGCCAGAGGCUUCUGGACGCCUUACUAAGUGGGCCAUUGAGUUGGGGGAGUACGACUUAUCUUACGAGCCUUGUACGACAAUCAAAGCUCAGGCCCUCGCGGACUUCCUAGCCGAGCUCACUUUUGAUGAGAUGAAUAAAGCCACCCCGGCCACUACCCAGGUUACUACCCCGUCUACCGUCGAGCCUCAACGCUGGACUUUGCAUGUGGACGGUUCGUAGUGGGGCAGGCUUACUUCUCGAAAACCCCCAAGGAGAGGUGUGCUCGUACGCCCUGAGAUUUGACUUCGCUGCCUCCAACAAUGAAGUCGAAUACGAGGCUGUCAUUGCCGGCCUACAACUAACUCGAAAACUCGGGGGCCGCACACAUCUUGAUCUAUAGUGACUCCCAACUCGUCGUGUGUCAAAUACUAGGUGAAUACGAGGCCAGGGAAGAGGUGAUGCAUCGUUACCUCUCCAAGGUCCUCCAGCUGGCGACACACUUCGAGUCUUUUGAAAUCCAAAGAAUACCGCGGUCACAAAACAGAAGGGCUGACGCCCUCUCCCGGCUUGCUUCUACCUCUUUCUCCGACCUGAACAAGACGGUUCUCGUAAAAGUUCUAACCGAGUUAGGAUAUAUAGCUGAGGUCGUGUACCCCGUCUACCCUGGGGAUACCUGGAUGGGGCCCCUGACUCGAUUUCUCAGCCAAGGUGAGCUCCCGGAAGACCGAGAUGAAUCACAGAAGUUUCAACGAAAAGCAGCUCGGUACACCCUCCGACAAGGCCUUUUGUAAAAGAGGUCUUAUCUCGACCCCUGGUUGCGAUGUAUCACGCCGGAGGAAGGUGAGAGAAUCCUCCAAGACAUACAUGAAAGACUUUGUGGUGCUCACGUCGGCUACAGGAUGCUUGUUAAGAAAGCUUUAUUGCUUGGGUACUUCUGGCCGACCAUGAGGGUAGAUGCCCAGGUCAUGGUUCUUAGUUGCCCCUCCUGUCAGCACCACGCCCCUGAACACCACCAGCUGACCAACCUUAUGAUACCCAUCACCUCGCCGUGGCCAUUCGAGCAAUGGAAAACUGAUAUAAUCGGCACAUUCCCCAGGGCUCCAGGCAACUAUGCCUACGUGGUGGUAGCAGUGGACUAUUUCACCAAAUGGGUUGAGACCGAGCCCCUGAGAAGCAUCACCGGGGCUGCUGUUCAAAAAUUCUUUUGGAAGAACGUGGUUUGUCGCUUCGGCCUGCCCCGAGUGGUCAUUUCGAAUAAUAGCAGGCAGUUCGCGGAUAAUCCUUUCAAGGCGUGGUGUGAAACUUUGGGGAUUCAACAACAUUUCACUUCGGUUGGACACCCUCAGGCAAAUGGACAAGCCGAAAACUUCAAUCGAACUCUCCUCCAUGGACUCAAGACCAGGCUACACCGGGCUGGAUAGUCAUGGAUGGAAGAGCUCCCCAGCGUGCUGUGGUCCUACCGAACCACGCCGAGGUCAGCAACCCAAGAAACCCCGUUUUCCCUAACUUAUGGGUUCGAGGCUGUCGUCCCAGCCGAAUUCAUUACCUCGAGUCCACGAAUGGUCGCAUAUGCUGCCGAAGUCAAUGAAGAAGAACGGCGAGUUGACCUCGACCUCGCCGAGGAGAAGCGUGAUAUGGCCAUGGCCAAAGUCGCUAUUUACAAAAAUAUCCUAACUGGUUACUACAAUGCUCGGGUCAAGCACUUGCGGUUCAAUCCGGGAGACCUUGUUCUCCGGAAGAACUCAGUUAGCCGAACUGAACCUCAGGAAAAGUUAAAUCCCAAGUGGGAGGGACCGUACUGUGUUGUUGAAUCCAGUCAAAAUGGAUAUUGUAAAUUGGCUUACCGAAAUGACUCUCGGGUGCCCUGAACCUGGCAUGCUGAAAAUCUUAAAUUAUAUUACCCUUGAAGGGUACGUAUUCUUACAUUCCACUUCUUCAAGUUAUUUCUCACUUCUUUCCAUAUUAUUGUAAGUGAAAAAUAAGGGGACAAAGCAGUAUUCAAAAAAAGAUGAAUUCAAUUCGAUCAAAAAGAAGGCAAAAAUAUGCAAGAACAAAAAGUCAAUUUUAUUGAAGUGCGAAAAGUAAAAGGCCGAGGUUAUAUAUGACCUCGGCCCCCAGUUACAAGAGUGAAAGGCCAAGAUUAUCUGUGACCUCAGAUAACCUCGGCCCUCUAUUACAAAAACAAGUGCUUCUAGGCACUCCCUACUUCAGUUUCCUGACCUCCCAUGGUCUCACCCUCCGUCUUGGCAUCCUGAUGCCCUUCAACUCCUCCACCGGCCUGGUCUCCUUCAAGCUCAUCACCAUCACCAUUUGGCUCAAAUUCCUGGAGCCAUUUGUUGAAUUCGGCUCGCACCUCAGCUAGGUCCUUUCCAGACUGGAUACCCUCGGCAAUGCGGUCGCACAGUUCCUUGGCAUUUUCGUUGUAGUGAGAAGCGUUCUGAAGGGACUCCAGUUGCUCAGGAGAGAGAAAGGGCGUUGCCUCGUUAACAGCGGAUGUGAAGCCGAACAUGAAACUCGGUCGAGUGAGCUCGCCGAGUUCAUGAGUGAAGGCUUCCGACUUCCGGAAUGCCUCCACGGCAGUGACCCCGACCUUGUCUAUGGCCUCCUUGGCCGAUUGUUCUUCUUGAGCCCGUCUCCCUCUUUCCUCGUCAAGUGCAGUUACGAGGGAGUUGUUUGCGACUUCGGCCUUCUUCUUCGCAAGCUCGGCCUUGUCUCGCUCCAACUCGGCUGCUCUCAGCUGCUUUUCCAGAUCGGCAAUCCUCUUGUGGAGCUCGUCAGGUGAUUCAUACGUCUGUACGAAGUGCCCGAAGCGUUGGUGCAUCUCAGCCAAGAACGCCGUGGUGGAAGCCCAGGAAACUGAGGCGCUUUGCAUCAGCUCGACGGGAGAGAGCUUCCUGGUGUAGGUAUUGUCCCGUGGCAGGACCGAAUGCACUAGGAGCUCGUGUGCGACUCGGGCAUCUUUGUAUCGGUCGUUCACGUUUAUAUCCCACUCCGGACACCACUGUGACCCGGAGUGCCUCUUGUCCUCCUCGGCCGCCACUGAAGGCACGUGGUGGAGGUUGAACAAUGAGGACCCCGUGACGGGGUUUUUCGGAGUAAUGGCUGCCGCUCGACCCCGAGGUGGAGAGGCUAUCGUCACUCCACGGGAGGGGAUUCCCACAGGAAUGCCAGAGGAUUUGGAUUUCCCCUUCCCCGGCAUGCCCGAGGUAUGUGAACCUUCGCCUAUGAUCACCACGGCGGGCUCGCGGUCGCCCGUCGCCGUGGUGGUCUUUUUAGCCGGCCUGGUAGAGGGAUCAGCAGCAUCCUUGCACUUCUUGGGUGCCCUCUUCACCACUUCGGCCCCUCCCGAAGUGAUCAGGUCAGAAACUUUCACCACUGCAGGGAAUGAAAGAGAGUCGAUUAGAAUUUAAGAAAAAUAAAUAAGUAGAGAAAAUGGAAAGGUACAAGGUUUCUGGAGCCUAGAAGAGAAAAGACGGGGUGAUCCGAGCUGAUCAAGGCUCAGCUGAUCCCGCCGUCCACAAGCACUGCUUCUGGAAAGUCCCAACAGUUAAUUCUGAGGCUCGACCCCAUUAGCUUCUGGAGGUUGCGCUCCUCUAACUUGCCCGGGGACAUUUCUUUGACCGAAGUGGGAGGUCUCCACCAAAACCCCUGGGGGAAGUCCUCAGCCGGAACGAAGAUGAAGUUCCUUUUCCACUCCUUUAUCGAGCUCGGGACGUCCACUACUAAUUUCGGGACUUUAUUCCCGAAGUAGAACCAACCCUUCUCACUCCCGCUGUUCUUAAGUGAAUAACAGCGGCGGAAUAGGUUAACCGUAGGCUCUAUCUCCUGAUGACGGCAGAGCAGUUGGAAGCCGACGAGAACGCGAAUGGCAUUGGGGGUGAGCUGAGUGAUUCUCACCCCCCAGUACCUCAAACAGCCGCGAAGGAAUUUCGUCGUUGGCAUCCUGAGCCCGGCCUCCAGUUGCUCCACAUAGAUAGCCACCCUAUCUUUCGGCGACAGUGCGGCUGACUGGUGCGGUUGGGGUAUGUAGAUACUAUAAUCCCUUCCCCAGGGAUACUUGCGGACCACCUCGACUACUGAGACUUGUCCCAUACCACUACUGAAGAACGGCAUCUGGCCGUAGUUAAGAGUUGUCACGUUCGGAGGAGUGGAAGGCUCUUGUACGCCCUCGUCCCUAGGGACCUCGUUCCCGAGGUCAUCAUUGUAUAGAAUUUCGGGAUCGACCUCGAUCUCCUCGUACUGCUCCUUAGCCGCCCCAACUCGGUGAGACGCCUCAGCUCGGUGGGACGCCUCCGCACCUCCUUCCCCAGCUCGGUGAGACGCCUCAGCACCUCCGCCAUCGGACGCGGUCCUUUCUUCGGAGAGGUCAGGCCUCUCUGCUUCGGUAAAGUCAGGCCUCACCGUCUCCUUGUGUGUACGAGCUGUUCUAGCCAUUAUAACAGAAAAGAAAGAAGUGAACUUAUUUAGAAGAUGUGAUUCGAAGGAAGUGCCGAAGUGAAAAGACAAAGAAGCGGAGCUUUGGGGUGAUUCACGAUUUUUGGUAAAGAUUAAAACGGUGAAAAGGGGCCCCUAUUUAUAGGCACCCAGGGAGAAAGUGAAGAGACGCGUUCUCUCUCUCCUCAUUAAUGAAAAAACUGUUCAUCUGCCGCCAAUCUCGCGCCUGAUCAUGAACCUGCCAUUCAGACUGAUAUCCGUCCUGUCAGUUCCUCAGCAGUCCCAUCCACGCGGUCAUGAUUAUUGGACACCGUGUCUUACACGCUUAUCAGCUUUGAAAAGUAACGACCUCGGGAGUCCACGAUCUCGUCUUCCUCGAAGCUUGGGGGGCUUAGUGAGGAUGGUUAUUCCGGUUCGGGUAUCCCAAGGUCUCGCCCAGUAAUAUCUCUUGAAGCGCCACCUCGGCGGUUAUCAGUUGGGGUGACAUCCACCUCAUUACCGUCUCGGCUAACAUCCUUAGCCGAGGUGACACCAGGGCAUCCGACAAUUGUGGAGAGGUGAGAUGUGACCUCUGACACCCCUGACACCUCCGACGCCUGACGAAAAGCUGCUCUGACACGCCGUCUGAACCUGACGGAUGUUCCAUCACGUCCUUUCAUAGAGAUCAGUCAAGUCCAUCAGAUGCAAUGACCAUAUCAGAUCUUUAGGGACCCGUGCUGGCAGUCCCUCUCUCCUAUCCGUCUUCUAUAAAUACUCAACACCUUUACUGAGAAGGGGGAUGACCAAUUUUCUGGUAACACACUACUCCCUUCCAUUACGCUAUCUCUUCAUAACCGAACUAACUUGAGUUUCGGAGUUAUAACGGGGGAUCCAGCCCCUCUUUCAACCUAAGCAGGUGACCUCGUCCAAGAGAGCUGCCCAGGAUAAAAAUACUUCUCCAAUGCGGGUGACUCACUCCAGCGGGACGAAAAUCACCUCUUCAAUUCCAUUGUUCUUUAAUUUGUCGAGUGUAGUCAUUCGAAUUCUUAGUGAUCGAUAAUGACUGAAUUGUUGGCAGUUGGCACUGAUUGUGUGCGCUUGAUUUUGAGAAUCAUUCUCGAUGCAAACGCUUGGAUGCUUAUGCUUUAUGAAACUUUAGGUUUUACCUUUAAGGGGAAAAAAAAAAAAGAAACAAAGGAAUUAAUAUUACCAGCCAGUCCCAUGUUCCAGUUUCAGAAAACUGCAUGGGGAUUACAACAUCUCCCACGGACAGGGUACUGUCGGCAUUGCCCGAAGUGCCAAAGUUUAUAACUCCUCUAAUUCGGAAGACGUCCAACAGUUAUUGGGUCGUUGCUGAUUAAUCCAAUCCAAGCAAAACGCCUUCAUUAAUCACCAAUUCUCACUCACAAAUAUUGCAACCUUUUUUACCUGUACAAAAGCUAACGAAGGGUGGCAAAACUAGAAACUCAAUUACAAUUACCAGUCCAACUCCACAUCUGACAUAAAUGGCACUAUUAGACCCUAUGGUCCCGAUCGAUGUGAUAACGCCUGCCUGCAAUGAAAUAAAUUAUUAGGUGAUAAAAAGUCAGCAACAAAUUUCGAUCAUUAUUAUGAGGAAGAAAAAAUAGCAGUUGUAAUAGUUGCGAAGCAGAUUUAAUGCAUGGGAAAUAUAUAUAUAUAUAUAUAUAUAUAUAUUUGCCUGAGAAAUCCACAUAGGGGUGUUUUGAAUCCACAAGUUACAAGUCAUAAUGUGGAUAACAUUUCAUGUUCUUUGCAACCAGCCAUACUGUAAGCUCAGACAUGCUUCCUUAAACAUGGAUCGAAUUGUGUUGUUAAAAGUUUAAGCAUUAGAAAAAAAUAGUGAUAAACAUCAGAUGCAGAAAGAAUGAAAAAUAGUGAUAUCCCCAUCAGAUGCAGUUUCUGUAUUGGUAACUAUAAUAUAUUUAGAUGAUGCAACUUUAUUGCUAAACAACAAUGUGCUGAACAAAAUUGUUUCCUAAGAUGCUCUAUGCAAUGAAAUAGCCUUAAAACGCCAGCCAUGAAUUCCUCAAUGGAUUUUCUGUCUCACAUUCUAUGCCACUCUCAGUCCCACUUUUUAUUAUAUUGCUAUUUCUCCUUCAUAAAUAUCAUGUUUUAAUUCUUUUUUGUUUCUUUAAGAUCCAAUAACUAUUAAUUGAGUAAUACACAAAAUUUAAUAAACUCAAAAAAUCAAAAUGCAUAAAAACGAGAUUUUUAUGAAUUUUCUGCUGUAGUUUUUAAUUUUCUAUUAUAUAUUACUUUUUUGAAACUGUUGUAUUUAUUUUUUACUCAAUCAAUAGUUACUGAAUCUUAAAAAAACAAAAAAGAAUUAAAACAUGAUAUUUAUGAAGGAGAAAUAGCAAUAUAAUAAAAAAGUAAAACUGAAAGUGGCACAAGAUAUAGAAUAGAAGAUCCGUUGCGAAUGAAUUCAACUCAACAAUCACAAUAAACAAAUCGUACAAAUGUUAAAAUGCCUGAAAUCAAUUUCUUGCGGCCCGCAUAAGAGCCAAUCUCACAAAGAGCCCUAAAGGUACUUUCGCCCCAACAAAAGCAUGCGAAAGAAAGAAGCUAUCCUUGGAGCUAAAGUGACAAGGCCAUCCCUUUCUGACCGACGAAGAUAAGAUGGGAAGGGCCGAUCGAGCUAGGAAUGCUCGUACGGGUCCAAGUGGUGGUUUGAUGUAACAUUGUACACUUCUAAAUGUACAUGGCUCGCAUAACAUGAAACAAAGCUUGGGAUGGAACCUUAUCUAAAUGUAGCAGCUUCCUAGUGCAGUUACCACAUCGAAUGGCUUAACUUGGGUGUUGUGAUUUUCCUCAUUUCCUAUCCCUUUUUAAUACUCUGACUAUUUUGUCCUUGGAGCUCUUUGUGCAUAUCAUGCAUGUGAUUUUCCGGUAGCAUUUAUGGCCUAAAUUUAAUAGGAUGGAUGACCAAGAAGCCGCGUGCGUUGUUUUUAAUAGUUGGGUCACACUUUUUACUGAGGAUAAAAAAAAAAAAAAGUUAAGUGACAUUUUAAGUUUUAGAAGAAAAAAAAAAAAGUUACUUAGGUGACAAAAAGCGAUAAAAAGGUAAUAAUUUGAUCGCAUUUUGACACCUCUAAUUUGGCCUGAAGUGAAAAUAACAAUGUGGAUAAAAGGUAAUAAUAAUUUGAUCGCACAAAUGUGGCCCGGGCCCGCAUAAGAGCGUGUGAAAUAAAGAAGCUGUCCAUGGAGCCACGUGACGGGGCUGUCCCUUUUCGAACGACAAGGAAAACAUAGAACGUCUCGAGAUAGGAAAGGCAUGGGUCCGUUUUUUUUUUUUUGAAAAACGUGCAAAAGCCAAAAAGACAAAUCGUUAUCCUGAGAAGAUUGCACAAGGAGACGAGGAAAUCCGGGGUUCGACCAAUUGUGGAUAAACUGAGAAUUGAAUGAAAAGUUAUUUAUUUAUUUUUCUUCAGAAUCUGUGUUAAUUGUAAUGGUAACUUUUCAAACUAACCCCUCUUAUUAAUGCUUUUAAGUUAUUUGAAAGUUUACUUCUUUUUUUUUUUGUUUUUUUUUACUGAAGAUAUAAGUUGUACUACAAGUUAUGCAAGUGCAAUCAAGAGAGAUGUUUUAGGAUGAGAAAUAAAAAGGAAUUCAAUUUACAAAUUUUAGUUGCACAAAAAAUUAACUAAAUUACAUGAAAUUAAACCAACCAAAUGCAUGCACUUAUUUUUAAUUCCACUAGUUUUAACUUAAAUUAGAAAAUCCCUUUCAUAAUUGCCCUACUUUUUCAGUUUUUCCAUGAGAAAAAAACUCCAACUUUGGUUUCCAUAUGGCAUCAAAAAACGGAUGAUUUAAGAAAUUGUCCAGAUGUACAGCAACAAUUGUAGGCCUACGUAUGUAGGAAGGGUGAAAAAAACAAGAGUGAGAAACCCUAGUAAAGUUGAACCAUCAGAAUUGAACUGCUAAAGAAGGUGAACAGCAGACAGUGAAAACCUUGAUCGUAUACUCUUGGUUUUGGCUGACAAUUUUCCACACCAAUAUGCAUUUGAUUAUAAGAAUGCCAAAGAUUUCAAUCUUAUCAAGUGAUUGACAAAGACAGCUGUGUUAUCCUAUACCGCAUGCCCGUGACUGCUAUCAAAACUCUGUAUCAAAUAUUGAUCUAUAAAUAAAAAAAAAUUUUUUAUCGAAACGGCAGUUUUAUAUAUGAUCGUAAAAACUUUACAGUAACUGGACGAGGGUCGAAGCAACAGGGACAACAGUCCCACAAUAUUCAAAAUAUUGAUCUAUAAACAUGCCACAGUAUUAUAUCGUUAUUUCAUUUAAGAUUUGAUUUCUUUGUAAUAUAGGUCACAAAUACUUGUGUAACAUAGUUCAAUCAUUUGUCUCCCGUGAUGGACAAGGGGGUAAAGGAGUAGGUGGGUUGUGAGCAGUUCAUUGUUAAAAUGCUUAAAACUACCUGUCUACAUCAAGCUAACAAUGGCAGCAGCUGUGGAAUAAAAUUUUCUUGCAAUUUUUUUUAUAGGAUUUUAGAGAAUGAGUCGCUUUUGUUUUGGAGGUGCAAGUGUUAUUCAGAGUCAGAGGAGAAGUGGUCUUAGGCAUUUCACAGUUGGAGAGACUAAUGUCAAAAGUAAUUGAUUCAGGUCAAAUAUAUGUGGUAAUUGAAACAUUUAAAAGCCCUUUUUAAGCUUUAGCAAGUAGGAAGCACGUAAAAAAUUCAAGGUCGCACCGAACUCCUCUCACGUGUAGAGGCUUUCUCUCUCUCUUGGGAAGAGAGCUUCUUUCUCCUUGGUGGGAACUUCAGCGUUUGAAACUUCAAAGCAACCAAUGAACACAGUUCAAAAGUUUGAAACUUUGCUAUCUUCCAGUUACCAAAAUUGUCUGCAUGUUGGGAUCGUAAAGCCAAGCAUUCACUAAGGAUCCAGAAUCAGAUAUCAUCAAGAAGGCAUAGUGAAGGAAACAAGAACAGGGGAGCGGGUUGUAGAAAAAAAAAAAAAAAAAAAAAAAAAAAAAAAAAGGUAAGGGUACUUCAGUUAGUCUAUUUCCUGAGCAACUGGUCGGAAAAUUCCAACAACUCUGGUUAAGGAAGGACGUCUAGUGAAGGUAUUUUAACUGUUCUUGCUCUUGUGCUCUUUUCCUUUUUCCUAGUACAUUUGGCUCAGCUAUUCAGCUCAGUGUGUUUGUCUGGAGAAAACGUUAUCUUCUUCUUAUUUUUACCUCUAUAGGGUUAGGUGUUUAGUGUGGCUGGUGGUAAGUGCUAGGAGUGCCGUCUGGUUUCAGCUUGGGUCAGAAUGGAGGAGGAAUUGGUGGAAGUGUUACAGAAAUUCGCCCUCUCAGAAAGGGAAGUAGGGGGUACCCUUCUGGAUUUGGGGGACCUAGAUGAGGGCAUUACAGAGUGCCAGGGUAGUAUCAUAGGGAAGAUACGGGGGGAGAAGAUUGCUAAUUUCACAGGAGUUAAAAAUUUUGCUACUGUGGCUUGGAGCUACCCUAAAGGUCUUAGAGUAGCUGAGUUAGGUCCUAAUGUUUUCCAAUUUACUAUCCCGGAUGCUAAGGAUAGGGAACGAAUUCUUGGAGGAGGGCCAUGGAUCAUAGACAACCAGAUUUUAGUGCUUAGAAAUUGGGAGGUGGGGAUAGAGGAGGAUGAAGACGCGUUUAGUGUAGCUCCUGUUUGGGUGCAGGUAUGGAACCUACCCAUACAUUGUCUGUCUAAGACAGUGGGAAAGAAAGUGGGAUCUAUCUUUAGUGAGGUUAGGGAGGUGUUAAUCCCUCAAUCAGGGGGCAAGGAGGGGAAACAUAUGAAACUUCUGGUUCUGAUAGAUAUUAAACAGCCUUUGUUGAGAGGUACAACAAUCCAGAUGAACGGGGUGAGUAAGUGGCUGUCUUUUAAAUAUGAAAAAUGUCCUGACUUCUGCUAUAGUUGUGGUGUCAUUGGGCACAGUGAAAAGAAUUGUAAGUGCCCUGUGAUGGUGAAAAAGGGACAAUACCAGAACCAGUAUGGACCUUGGAUGAGGGUGUUUGGGGGAAGAGGAUCUCCUCAGAAGGAAGGUACCCAAAAGAUGUGGACGCCACACAAGCAGGUAUGGAAGGUUAGAAAUGGGGAAAUGAUCAGAAUAGAGGAUUUAGAGAAACAGGAGAAAGGGGUAGGUCUGUAUGAGAAUAUGGAUUUGAGCAAGACAAAGGAAGUUAGGGGGGAAGAGAGCCAGACUCAUGAGUUAGAGAAGGGGGGACUCACUAUUGCAGAUAGGGAGAAGGCCGGUAGGAUAUUACCAAAUUGGAGCUCUGAGAAGGACAGGGAGAAGGUGAUAGGGAUGCAGGAGGGUAUUAAGAGUAGUACAGGAAUGGAUGUAGUACGAAUAUUGGAGGGUAGGAAUGAUGAGGUUACUAAUAUGGGAAAUACUGAGAAGGGAGAGGUUGGAAGGAUAGGAGAAGGUAAAGGAGGGGAACAAGAAAUACCCAGUUCAGGGGAGGAGCUAGUGAAUAUGGAAACAGAUGAAACCAUAAAUAAAGAAAACCAAGGAGGGUGUAGGAUAGAGGGGAAGAGGUUCAGGAGAGUGCACACUGGACCUAGAGAGAUUAGAACUCCUCUAAAGGAGCUCAAUGGGACAAAAAGGAAGUUUUAUCUGUGUGAUGAAGAAAUGACAGAUGUGGAGAACCAGGAUCACAUAGAUAAAAAGUAUAGGGGAGAACAGAUUGGAGGGAUAAGCAAGGAUUUGUCUGAAGGGGAUGGGAUCAGCCCUCACUGGUCCCCAAAGGACCAAUGAGAGCUAUGGUGUGGAAUUGCCAAGGAGCAGGGAGCCCCUUGACAAUUCCCCACCUGAAGGAGGUUAAAAACCUCCUCUCCCUGAACAUGAUAUUCCUGAGUGAGACUAAGAAUAAAGCUAAGUAUAUGGAGAAGGUGAAAAGGAUCCUGAAUUAUGAUAACUGUUAUGUGGUUGAAGCCAUGAAUAAGGCAGGGGGCAUGAGCCUGAUGUGGAAUGAGGAGACUAAAGUUAAGGAAAUUAAACAUUCUGCCUUUACAAUUGAGGUGUUGAUAGAGGAUGCAGAAGUGAAGAAGGAUUGGUGGCUGAUAGGGAUCUAUGCUAGUUGUGAUAACCAGCAGAGACGAGGGCAGUGGGAAGUCAUCAGUAGGAGGAAAGUUUUGUGGGGGGAAGACUGGCUUAUUAUGGGGGACUUUAAUGACUUAUGUUCUAAUGAGGAGAAGUGGGGAGGUAGAAUUAGGGAGGAGUGGAGUUUCUAUGACUUCAGAAAUUUUAUUCAGGAGAACCAGCUGGUUGAUUUGGGGUUUGAAGGUAACCCAUGGACUUGGAGUAAUCAGUGGCAAAAUGGAGAAAUUAGACAAAGGCUGGAUAGGGGUCUAAGUAGUGGAAGUUGGAGCAAUCUGUUUGAGCACCCCAAGUGUACUCAUUUAGAAAGCUUAGCCUCUGACCAUAGCAUGCUGAUUCUGGACACUAUUCCAGGGGUAAGGAGGAAAAAAAAGAGAUUCUGGUUUGACAAAAGAUGGGUCCAGAGAGAAGGUAUAGGAGAGGUGAUUAAGAAGGCCUGGGAUGAGGAUGUUAGAGGAUCCAGAAUGUUCAGAGUUAUGAAUAAGAUUAAGAGGUGUAGGGUUGCUCUGCUGAAGUGGAGAAAUGAUUUUAUUGAUAACACUAGGAAGAGGAUCUCUACUCUGAAGCAGCAACUGAUUAAGGAAAAAAGUUCAGAGGCUGAAGGUAGGAAAGGGAGAAUAGCUGUUUUGAAGAAUCAGUUAGUGGGAGCUUAUAGGGAAGAGGAACUGUAUUGGAGUCAGAAAGCAAGGCUCAACUGGCUUCAGGAAGGGGAUAAGAAUACUAAAUACUUCCAUGCAGUGGUGAAGGGGAGGAGAAAAAGGAAUAAUAUAGGUAAUUUGCAAAAAGAGGAUGGGUCCUGGACUACGGAUGACAAGGAGAUAGCAGAAGAGAUUGCUAGUUAUUAUAAGCAGCUUUUUAAGUCUUGUAGGACUGAUGAUUUUGAGGAGAUUCUGGAUGGCAUUCCUUGCACUAUUACUAGGCAGAUUAAUGAAAAUAUUACUAGACCUGUAGAGGAAAAUGAGAUAAAAGUAGCUGUUUUCUCCAUGAAUCCCAACAAGGCUCCAGGGCCUGAUGGGAUGACACCUCUCUUUUUUCAAAAAUUCUGGUUAACCAUCAAGGAGGAGGUUGUGAAUGCAAUCAGAUCUUUCUUUCACUCGGGCCACAUUCUCAAAUCUUUGAACCACACCACUAUAUCUCUUAUUCCUAAGGUAGAGUUGCCCACUGAUCUGAAGCAUUAUAGGCCUAUUAGCCUGUGUAAUGUUUUAUACAAAGUAAUCUCUAAGAUCCUAGCCAAUAGGCUGAAACCUGUCCUGGAUGUCUGUAUCAGCAAAAACCAGUCAGCCUUCAUACCAAACAGACAAAUCUUAGAUAAUAUUAUCAUUUCCCAUGAAUGUCUUCACUUCCUUAAAAACAAGAGACAAGGCAAGGAUGGUUAUACUGCUAUUAAAUUGGACAUGUCUAAAGCCUAUGACAGAGUUGAGUGGAGUUAUCUGAAAGCUGUUAUGGAAAGGAUGGGGUUCAAUUAUAUCUGGGUAGCAUGGAUUUUGGAUUGUAUUAGCUCAGUAUCAUACUCCUUCAAUGUUAAUGGAGAGACUAAGGAGUAUGUAAUCCCUUCAAGGGGCAUCAGGCAAGGUGACCCACUGUCACCUUACUUGUUUCUUUUAUGCUCUGAAGGUCUCUCAAACCUGUUAAGGAAAGCAGCACGACAAGGCAAGCUAAGUGGUUUAAGAAUCAGCAAACAAGGACCUGCUAUUACUCAUCUAUUUUUUGCUGAUGACACCCUAAUAUUCUGUAAAGCUGCGGGGGAGGAAGCAAGGACUUUGAAAGCUAUUCUGAAUCAGUAUGAGAAGGGAUCUGGUCAAGUCAUUAAUUUGGAAAAAUCUUCUAUCUGUUUUAGCAAAAACACUAAGGCUGAAGAUAAGAAGGAAACCUGUGAGUCUUUAGAAGGGGUUAGGAUAGUGAGCCAGGGUAAAUAUCUGGGCCUUCCUAUGGUGAUCACAAGGACAAAAGGUCAGAUUUUUGCCUACAUUAAAGACAGCAUAAAGACUAGGCUCAACAACUGGAAGAACAAGCUUCUAAGUGCAGCAGGGAAAGAGGUGAUGUUAAAAGCUGUGACAAUGGCCAUGCCAAUCUAUGCAAUGUCUUGCUUCAAGUUACCAGUUACACUUUGCAAGGAAAUCUCAGGACUAAUGGCUAAAUACUGGUGGGGUGAAGUAGGAGGGAGAAACAAAAUGCAUUGGUGUUCAUGGGACAGGAUGAUGAAGGCAAAAAUGGAUGGAGGUUUGGGGUUCAGGAAUUUAAGAUGUUUCAACAAGGCGUUACUGGGAAAGCAGAUUUGGAGGAUGCUCAGAUUUCCAAACCUGCUGGUAAGCAAAAUCUUAAAAGCUAAGUACUUCCCUAAGGACUCCAUUUUGAACUGUAAAAUCCCCAAAAAUUCGUCCUGGUUCUGGCAGAGUAUAAUGUCAGCUAGGGAGGUAGUUAAGGGAGGGGUACUGAAGAGGGUAGGAUCAGGGAAGAGUAUUAGAAUUUGGAAAGAUCAAUGGAUCCCAAACAAUCUGAAUGGAAGACCAACUACAAUGAGGGCAGAUAGGGGGGAGGAGCAGAGAGUGGAGGAACUAAUUACAAACUUCAGAUGGAAUAGGAAUGAAGUCUACAGGAGGUUCAAUAGGGAGGAUGCGGAUAACAUACUGAAAAUACCAAUCAGUCUGUCAAAUUCUGGGGACAAGCACUUCUGGAUACAUAGCAGACAGGGAGAAUACUCAGUAAAAUCCUGCUACCAGACUUUACUCAAGGAAGAGAAAAGGAAAGAAAGUGAUGCGAGAGGAGAGUCUGGGUCGAGCUAUGAUGACUCCAACACACAAAUCUGGAAAACUCUUUGGGAGCUGAACAUUAAACAUAAGAUCAAGCUAUUCAUAUGGAGAUGCAUUACGAAUACGCUGACAGCUAGGGAAUCGAUCUUCAGGAGAACAAAGCAAGGAUCGCCAUUUUGCUCAAGAUGUGGGGAUGGAAUAGAAACAGUAGAACACAUCUUGUUCCACUGUCAUCAGGCCCAGAAGGUUUGGAAGCUGGCACCAGUACAAUGGGAUGGUUUACAGAAUCAAACAGGAUGCUUCAAGCAAUGGUGGUCAGCAUUAGUCCAAUCCAGAAAUAGAAAUGGAGGAAGGCAGCAUAUUGGAUUGACAGCUAAUAUACUGUGGCAGCUAUGGAAGGACAGAAAUGAAAUGGAGUUUGAAGGGAAAGAGAGAGAUGGAUGGAAAGCUGUACAUAAAGCUAGCACGGAAUGGAUGGAGUAUGAGGAAGCUGGAAAAAGGAUGAAUGAGGAAAGCACACUAGAAACAGAUGAAGCAAGAGAAAGAGCUAGGGAGGAAGGAAGGGAGGAGGAAGACAUGAUGGAACUUCAAGUAGCUACUAAGAGAUCAGCUGAGGGUAAGAGGUUGGGAAUUGGGGUUGUAGCUAGGCAGAAUGGAGGGAGAAUCAGAGCUGAAUGGAAGUUAAUUGAAAGAAGUUCGGACAGGGAUAUUCAGGAUGAAGCCGAAGCAGUAAGAUUGACUAUGUUGAAAGCAAGACAGUUGAGCUGGCAGAAAAUCAAAAUCAUCAAUGCUAAUAAACAGCUUAUUGCCAUGCUUAAAACUGGGAUAGGGGACAACCCAAAUACUGCUACAUUGGUUGAGGAUAUACAAGCGUUAGCUAAUCUGUUUCAAGUGUGCACUUUUGAAGAAAGAACUAGUAGUAAUAUGACUCUAUGUAAUCACAUUAGCCAUUAUGCUUUAAGCAUACUUAGGGAUGAGGAGAGGUUUUUUGGCUCUCCUUAAGUGUCUUGGUACACUUAGUAUAGUUGAUUGGGCCUUUGCUCAGAUAUUGUAAAGUUAGUUUCUUAUAAAAUGACAUCUAUCGUUUCCGGAAAAAAAAAAAAAAGUAGGAAGCACGUAUAAAUCUGCCAUCAUUUUUUGGUUAAAUGGUACGUCAAUAGUUGAACUUUGCCUUUUCACUCAUUUCGAGCAAUCAAUCAUAAGAGGAAAUAGACCAACUCACUCGCGUAUCCAAGUAGCAUUCGGCAGCCAGGAGGAAUUGCAUUGCAUGCGCUUCUUAUUCAAACACACAAUAAUUUGCUGGUACAUUUUAUUUUACAUAAAACGUCGUUGCUCCAAGAGACUUCUAGUCUUGAAGCUCAUUUAUUCUUUCUAGGCAAAUUAUUAGAAGCACAUUCGUUGAUUGAUUCAUUCAGCGCUCCUCCUGAUUAAGCUGAACAUUUACGGUUCUUGCCACAGAUACGGCCCAAACGAGGUGAUGGUAUAUUAUUAACAAGUGCAACAACGGUUUUCUCGACAUUUGCCGCAACAAUAGCAUCAUAACUCUCACUCGAAUCCUCUCCUCCUUCUGCUCCAGCUGAAUUAGCCAGUCCGCGGAUGGCAAUCACUUGCUGGCCACUCGACAAGGAUGUCUGCACACAACCAAAGACAAGUCAAUUUGCUGCUUCCUACUGUUUUCUUGGGGUCAGUUUGAGAGGAUAAAUUUGAGAUCAGAUAUUCAAUUGCAGGGAAGACUCUUCAAAUUGGUUCUAGUUUGAUGAAGAAACGCUUUUACAAAAGAAUAAAGUAGCAGAAAGCAGUGAGGAUGAAAGUACUCGAUCUGGUAACAAGACAAUAAAAAUUACCAUGAUUACUGCUGCGCUCUCCAUAUCAAUGGAUGCAACGUGAAAAGUGCUGUGGAGGAAAUCUCUGUAAGCUGCAUUCUCAACAAAAAAGUUGGCAGUUGUGCCGUUGACUCCAAGAACUAGCUUAGGCUGUUUCGGGAGGCAAACGCCGUUUAGGCACUGGUCUAGCUCAAUUCCCUGUUUGAACAAAACUACCACCGUCAGAACCAAAAAGAAUUUACUAAAUUGAAAAUGGGAAAGGGGUUAUUUUAUUUUCGCUUGAAAUAGAAUUUGGCAACUUAAAAUAAAGGUAAAGAGAAUGUUAAUUCUAGAUCUGAAUCUGUGCCUUGUUACCUCUAGAGUGGAAGCGAUUUGCAGCAAAUCCUCGGAUGCCUCGAACCAAAAUUUUCUUACAGGAACAUCAGGCUCUCCUGUCUGGGAAAAGAAGUACUCUUUCAUAUAAGCCACGCGACCCAACAGAUUAUAUCCGCCAAUGGGAAUGUGAUAGCGUCUGAACUCUAGGUCAGCAACCCCAUUAUCUGGCUGUGGUGCUGCCUCGGAUUUCUGCAAUAUGCAUGCAUGCAUGCCCAGAUGAAGAUACAUGCAAAAAUGUAAUUCCUCGAAUAUUAAAAAAAAAAAAACACGUAGAAUAAUUUUGAAGCAGGGAAAGGACUAAAAUUUUGUCCGCUUCACAAAAACAUAAAUAAAUAAAGAAACUGAGGAAUUCAAUUGCACCAUCAGGUAUUUAGGCUCUCCAUUAAUUGGAGCUGCUGUCUACUGCAUACGGAGGGAGGAGAAAAGCAUCAUCCAAAUCCAAGAGGCAACUGGUUCAUAAGCCUUGCUUGCGAAUUUCAGUAAUUAGCACAUUUUUUCCUUUUUUUUUCUUUCUUUCUUUCUUUUUUUGGUAAGCGACAGAUCAUAAUUCCAAAAUCUCCUACUUCAAUGUUUUAUUUCCGCGGUUCUUUUGUCAAGUUGAGUGUAGUGACUCGAAUUCUUAGUGAUACUGACUGAAUUGUUGGCAGUUGGCACUGAUUGUGUGCGCUUUAUGAAACUUUAGGUUUUACCUUUAAGGUAAAAAAAAAAAAAAACAAAGGAAUUAAUAUUACCAGCCAGUCCCAUAUUCCAGUUUGAGAAAACUGCAUUGGGAUGACAACAUCUCCCACGGACAGGGAACUGUCGGCGCCGCCCGCAGUGCCAAAGUGUAUAACUGCUCUAAUUGGGAAGAAGUCCAACAGUAGUUGGGUCGUUGCUGCAGCAUUCACCUGAUUAAUCCAAUCCAAGCAAAAUUAUUGAAACCUUUUUUCACUCGUACAAAAGCUCCCAAACUAACGAAGGGCGGCAAAACUAGAAACUGGGACCUAUUGCAACACAAUCACGCUUACCAGUCCAGUUCCACAUCCGACAAUAAUGACACUAUUAGACCCUAUGGUCCCGAUGUGAAAACGCCUGCCUGCAAUGAAAUAAAUGAUUAGGUGAUAAAAAGUCAGCAACAAAUUUCGAUCAUUAUCAAGAGGAAGAAAAAACAGUAGUAGUAAUAAUUAAUGGUUGCGAAGCAGAUUUAAUGCAUGGGAAUUAUAUAUAUAUAGAUAUUUGCCUGAGAAAUCCACGUAGGGGUGUUCUGGAUCCGGCUUGAAGGCACCAUCAUCAGAAAAGGGUGUCGCUUGUUUGUAACUAUGAGCGGAGAUAAGACCAAGAAAAGGCGGUCUAACAGACAACUCCUUGAUUGCCCGAGGCAAAGGAGCGGUUAAAACAUUGACCGCUAGAGAAGAAAUCACAACUGAAACCAGUAAAAGCAAUUUCAUUUGUUUUCCAGCCAUUUUAUGCUCUUUCUAUCGCUCUCCUAAUCUCCUUGCUCUCCCAACUCGACUGCAUGGUGCCUAUUUAUAGCACAAAUUGCGGUAAGAUUUGCCAGCUACCAUCUGUAAAUACACUCUUUUAACUUUUCACCACAAACCAUAUUCUCUCCUGCGUUAUUAAUAUUGUCGCUUUCCAAAUUAUGUUUCUGGGGCCAAAUUAACUCGCUGUUCUUGAUUGUAUACCGUUAAAGUCAGUAAUCAAUAAUGUGGUCCAACAUUUCAAUUAUUUUCACAAGAAUUAAGGUCCACCAGUUGGAUAUCAUUACUUACAAGUCAUUAUAUGGAUACCAUUUCAUGUUCUUUGCAACCAGCCAUACUGUAAUCUCAGACAUGCUUCCUUAAACAUGGAUCGAAUUGUGUUGUUAAAAAAAUAUUUUGAUUUUGAUGCAUCAUUUAACUACAUGGUUUUCUAGUUCUUUAAAAAAAAAAAAAAACAAAACAAAACUAACAAGGAUGCCUAAAAUUUCAGAGCUUUCGAGAGGGCAAACGGCUGGCUUUCUGACCGAUGAUUGAUAACUAAGGAUUUUUUUUUUUUUUUGGGUGAAUGAUUGAUUAAGGUAGGAGAUAGAGAUAGGCCAUAUGCAUCACCCUUAAAAACAGUUCAUAUUUUUGUUUAUGGAACUUGUGGUUUGCAUUCUACAUUCUGAAAAGCCAACUUAUAGUUUGUUUCUCCUUUUUUUCACUCGUUAUAGAUAGUUGUGCAGGCGGCAAAUAUAGAUAAACGUUAAAAAAUUUUGACAGAUAAUUAAGGCUUUCUGUUGUAUAAAUGCAGGAUCUAUAAGCCCAUCAGUUAUCUUCAUCCGAUACUUUGAGUUCCUAGCUACCCCUGUGAUAUAUGAACAUUAUAGGGCAAACCUAUAGAAGAAGGAAAAAAUGAAAAAUAUAGUGAUAUAUACUAUCUCGUCCCAUUGAUAGUGUCAUACUUUUCUUUUUUAUCUGUCCCAAAAUAAUUGUCACUUACUAAAAUUGGCAAUGAAAUCUUUCACACAUUUCUAUUAUAUACCCUUCAACGUGACAGCCCUUUCUUAUUUUUUAGUGGGCCUAAUUAUGCACUUACCAAGUACCAACACUGCACUUAAUAGUUUGUGACUCCUACGUGAAAUGCAAAUAACAACUGUGCAUGAUACUUAAUUUCCUCUAAAGUAGUGCGGAGACAUUUCAUUCUUUUGGGUUCCACAUGUCUUAUCAUACCUUGUGGCCUUUUUAUCAUUCAAUCUCGUAUGAAUACAUUGAAAGUCAAGCGAUGUAUUACCGGAAAUUGAACGCAAAUCAUUUAAAAGUCUUGCACCGUUGAUAAUAAUUGCAAGUCUCCCGAUGUGAGACACACUUUCUGCGGCGGAGGGAGUACUUUCUGACGUAGUAACCUAUAAUACUUUACGGUUGCUGCUACGGUAGAAAGUGGGAUGCACUUCCCAGCGUAGGCAGAAUGCCCACUAGAAGUACAAGUCAGCAUGAGCAUCUUUGUCCGUGUUUUUGGGACCCAAUUGAGGGAAGGUAAGCGGCAGAGGCUGUUAUCAUCUUAAGGGACUAACGGCAAAUACCAAUAUAAACUGUUGGGUCGUCAAAUGAAUAAAGAAUGUCUCAGACAGGACAGUAAAAGUCAUUAUUAAUUUAUGAUAUGAAUAGAAUCAAAUGAUUAUAUAGGAUUUUCAAAAAAUUAUUAUUUUAUUAUUUUAUCAAAAUUAUUAAUUUAACUCGUUAAGCAAGUCGAAAUCAAAAUUUAAAUUGAAUUCUAAUCUGAGUUUUGAGUCAGUGGAUUCGAAUGACUCAUUUAAAUCUAAACGCAUAUUAAAACUCAAUUAUUCAUGGGGUUAAGUAAAUCCACUAAGUAUUGUUAAAAUUUGUUAGACACAUUUACUAUUACAGUAUUUUCUUUUACUUUUCCCCUUCUCUUUCUUUCUUCUUAUUUUGAAAAUUAAGGAAUCUUUUCAAUUGUUGUGUAAAUGAUUUCUCAUGUUAAUACACAAAUCCAUUUUAACUCUUGUAAUAUUUCAUCAAUUGAAACUCGUCACAAUUACCAUUUAUAUUAUGGUACAAAUUUUCAUUGGGUCUUUUCCUUUUGAUUUGGAUAAAAAAUUUAUUCACUAAAUUAAUGUUUUUAAUUUAAUAAAAUAUUAUUACUUAUGUUUAAACAAUAUACGUGAACCUUUUUUUUCCUUUUUAGAUCAGAUGGUAGUGUAUAUAUGAUAAUUUAUCAUUCAAAAUGCAUAAUAGGCAGAUAAGGACCAUAAGGUUGAGGCCCAAGAAUUACAGAUUUUAGAUUCAAAUUCCUCUACCCACCCACUAUUUCUUAAAUCCUACCUCUUCCCUAAUAAAUUUUUUUAAAUGUAGGGACUUAACUCUUACAUGCAUAAGCAAAAUCUAAUUUUCAUCCAAUUUCUAAUUAAAUAUUUAUUCAUAAUACUAACAACUUAUUGCUUUCGUCAGUUGUUCAUAUACCAUGUCUUCCUAGUCGAGGGAAUCUGGAAAUUCUGAUGCAAUUAAUAACUUUUUUGCUUCAUGAAAUACUCCUCUCAUUUCAUUCUCCAUUUCUCUAAGAUUAUGUGAUUUAUAUACAAAAUGUCAUGCGAGAGUAGGAUAAACUUACAUGUAUAUAUAAGCGUGUGUGUGUGUCUAUAUAUAUAUAUAUAUAUAUAUAUAUAUAUAUAUAUAUAUAUGCUGAUGAUAAGUCAAACAAUCCUAAGGCUCUAGCAUUUAGAAUACAAAGUUUUAAUUUAAAGGCGCCAUCAUUUAAAUUCUAAAUUUUCAGUUUAGAGUCCGAAUUUUCAAUCCAAAGGCGUCAACAUUUAAAAUAAAAAAUUUCGAUCUAACCCGCAACUACCAAACUUCAAAUUUUCAUUGAGAAGGCGGCAACUACUAGUCCCCCAAAACUUCUAUUGAAUAUUGCAUAGAUUGAGAAAUAAUUAAACUCCAUUAUUGGAAAUACAUAAUCGCUAAUUUAAAAAAUUUAUUUAUAAUGGAUACAUAUCACCCCUAGCUUGAAAUAAUAAUAAAAAAAUUAAAAUACUCUUUUGUGUAUAGCUGGCAAUCGGGCAGGUUGGGUGGGUUAAUAAUGGAUUUUCACUUAAAUGGGUUAUACCCAACCCGUCCAACUUUAGAUUGGGUUGAUUUUGGAUUGGGUCAUAUUGGGUAAUCUCAAAUCCAUGACCCAAAUAUGACCCAACAUAUUAAUUAAUACAUUUUAAUACAUAAACUUUUUCAAAUACAUUUUAACACACAUAAAAGAUUUUUUAAAACAUAUAAACACAUUUUCACAUACAUAAAUGUAUACAAACACACACUCACUUUCUUAAGUUCCUUGGAAACAUAUCAUAAACAGAAUAAUAUUUUAUAUUGCUUGUAUUGUGAAUUUUAGAUAAUAAAUUGUACAUUUAACGAAGAGCAUAGCGCCCCCCCCCCCACACAAAACACCACCUUAAUCUUUUCAAUAAUCUCUUCCAUUGAUCCACUAUCAAUUUUUGUGUCCCUUAAAAAACUUUGAUUUGUGAUUUAUAGUUUGUCAUGUUCAGUAUAACUAGUUGCAGAGUUAGAAUUUAAAUUCAUAACCAUCUAGUUAUUUUAAUAGUUCAAACGUUCAAUCUUUGAAACUUUUGUGUUAUGUGAUUUAUGUUUAUGAUUGUUUUAUCUACAAUCUCAAUUCUAGUUUCUUGGUGUAUUAUGUUAAUUAUAUUUAUGAUUACUCAUUUACAAAUUUGAUAUCUAUUUGAAAGUCACCAUGUUACGUAUAAGAUUACUUAUCUAAUUUCUAAAUUAAAAUUAAAAUCUACCAGGUCAAUUAUGUCACGAUUCUGGUUUUUUGUAACACUAUGUUAAUUAUGUUUCUAAUUAUUCUUCUACAAUUUUGAUUCCAAUUAAAAGAUCACUAUCUAUGAGCACUUACUUAGAGGGAUCGCUGUUAGUAUAAACUUUUUAAAAUCAUUUUCUAAACUUUCAAUUUUAUCCUUAGGGAAAAACUUUUAAUUUUUCCUCUAAUUGCUUAAUCACAUUUUGCCAAUAUAACUACCCUAAGUAUUGUAAUUACCAAAUUACUAUAACCUUCUGAACCAAAAUUCUUCAAUAAAUUAUUGUGAAAAAUAAAAUUUUUAUACAAAUUAAUUCCUUUUAUUUAUUUAUGUAUAUAAUUACUCAUCUACGCAAACUAACAAUUAAAUUUAAUCCUUAAGAUUGAAGUACACAUAAAUACAUUUAUGGGCUUUUAACUUACCAAGGGUAAAUGCAAUAAAGAAAAAUCGCUUUUGAACUAAUGAACAUAAUUAAAAAAAUUGAAUGGCAAAAAUUGGAUAAAUUACUUUUAAAAAAGGGAAAAAAAGAAGAAGGGACAGCAAAUGUGAAGAUUGUGCAAAUGUAGAUACAUUUUAGUAUAAUAGAAUACUUAGUGAAUAUAGGUGCAUUGUUAUCUAUACUAUAUAUAAAGUUUGAGGAAGGGAUUUGGAGUUAACAUUUUAUGAACAUUUUUUAUCCUUAUAAAAAUUAAUUUUACUUUAACUAUCUAUAACUACUCGUCGCUACUUUUACUUCUAACUAUUUAAGCAUAUGUUUUUAACAUAACUACCCCUAAAUAUUAUAACUACUAAUAUAAAUUAUUUUAUGAAAAUUAUUUAAAACAUUAAAGUUUGUUUCAAUAAUAAAAAUUUUAUUUAAAAUAUAUUAUCAUAAAUAUUAUAUAUUUUUUGAUUGCACGCACAUUAUGAAAAACGAAGCAGAAUAUGAUUAAUAGUCCUAUGAUUAAUAGUCCUUAAAUCAAUAGGACUAAAUGCGCUUAAUCAAUAGUCCCAAGGAUUAUUGCAUCUGACCAAUUUUUCCAAAUCUUUCAGCUAUUUGCAGCUUGUUUCCUGCUAAUUAGGCAUGGGGAGCUACUCUCCAAUUAAUGAUAAUUCUUUAAUGCAUACAAAUGCCCGCAACUUGUUUCCCGCCAAUCAGGCAUGGGGAGCUACUCCAGAAUUAAUGAUAAUUUUUGGGUGCAUACAAAAGUCCAUAAGUUGUUGAGGGGCAUACAUGUUAUUUAUCCUAAAAGUACAAGGGACAUGGUGAAACUUUUUCUACCAGGUUCCGGUCACUACUUUUAAUAACCUUUCUUCACCCAGGCCCACACUGCUGUGUUGUCCUAAUUUCCUUGGCUCUUCCCACCGUGCAUAGGAAGGUCAGCUUUCCACCGUAGAUGGAACCAAUACUUUUAGAUGUAGAACGUACAGACAAUGCAACUUUUAUUGCUAAAGAACAAAGUGCUGAACAAAAUUGUUAAGUUUUAAAACUAUUAUUGUAUUUGACAUAAAAUGCCAGCCGUGAAUAGAGUAAAUGGAGCAAAAUGUCGUCACACUAUUACUUUUAUAGCUAAAAAUGUCACUUAAUUAUUUUGUAGCUAAAAAUGUCACAUAACUUUUUUUCGUAGCUAAAAAAUGGCAUUUAACUUUUUUUCUUAACUAAAAAUAUCACUCAACUAUUUAAAGAUAACUUAUCAGUAAUUACGUUAAGUUUGUGCAUCAAAGCCAUGGAAAAGUAACGCACGUGACUUGCACGAGAGACCGUUGAAGGGUAAAAAUGCCCGAAUUUUCUUUUAGAGACAAUUUGGAAAAAUGAACAAUAUUCUCAGUGUCAAAAUUAGUUAUAUUAAAGGAUCAAGAACUUUAACUAAAAUACAUAGAACUGCUAGCUCAUGUGUUCUCUGCGGACGCCACCUAAGCUACCGGAGAUUAUUUGUGCUUUUAGGAUUUUUACUGUUCCACAAGGAGAAAACUAGAAGUUAGGAGAAGCUGAUAUCAUUUCUGUGCUUUUAGGAUUUUUUUUUUUUUUUUUUGAGACUCUGACUAUUUUGUCCUGGAGCUCUUUGCCCGUAUCAUGCAUGCGAUUUUCUGGUAGCAUUUAUGGCCUAAAUUUAAAAGGAUGACCAAGAAGUUGCGUUGCUUUUAACAGUUGGGUGACACAUUUUACUAAGGGAAAAAAAAAAAGUUUAAGUGACAUUUUUUACUAAGAAAAAAGUUAGGUGACAGUGAGACAUAAAAGGUAUUAAUUUGAUCACAUUUUGGCCUGAGGUGAAAAUAACAAUCACAAUAAACAAAUCGUACAAAUUUAAGAAUGAACGGAAACAAUUUCUGCUGGCCCUGGCCCUGGCCCGCAUAAGAGCCCAUCUCACAAAGAGCCCUGAAAGUACUUUCGCCACAACAAAAGCGUGAAAAAAAAAAAAAAGAAAAGAAAAAGAAGCCAUCCAUAGAGGAGCCAAGUGGCGGGGGCUGUCCCUUUCCGACCGACGAGGAAAACAUACAACGUGCCGAGGGAGGAUAGGAAUCCCCGUAUGGGUCCGUUAUUGUUUUAAAUUAAACCGUGCACGUGGAUAGACGUUGCUAUCCUCAGAUUGCACAAGGAGAUAAGGAAAUCCAGGUCGACCAAUCGUGGAUAAACUGAGAAACAAACGCGUAGACUAAGAUUUUACGUGAAAUAUCGCAUGGGAUGGGAGUUUCCUCCAGGUGUACUAGCCUUCAAAAUUUUAGAAAUUUGUCGUAUGCUGUACAUAACAAAUGAAGAGGGGGCAGGAACGGGAUUAAUUGCCUGAAGCCAAUUAAUAUAAUGUUUUGCUGCCCAGACAUAUUAAUUGUGUUUGACAAUAAUGUUGUUCGUAAACCGGAUUUGCCAAACUAUUGACGGGAUUAUGUUGGAAUGCCUGAAAACAUUUUGUGCCUCAGCACACCUUAUGUGAGAUCAUCCUAAACAAAGAAUGCUAUGAAACUGGAUGGAGUCUUUAUUCACAGAUUUCUUGUGGCCAGUUUUUUUUUUUUUUGUGUAGGAGAAUAAGCUCCCAUCUCAAUCAAGCUUCAUAAAAAUCGUAAUGAAUGGCAAAAUUUCAUGCUCGUAUGGAUAUUGUAAUGAAAGUCUUGUACGGUUAAUUCUAUGUAUGCCCCCGUUGCAGUGUGGCAGAAAACAACAACAUUAAUGUCAUCAAGUUUAUUGCGAGGCCUUAAACCACAUUGAUGUUUAUAUGGUGGCCUUUGAUGAGGAUUAUUUGCAUCUUUGUGACUAAAACUUGUAAAUGACCUGCUCAUAAUGCCUUCACAAAUUGAACAACAGCUUUGGCGGCAUUUGAAGCUGCCAGAGGCCCAAAUGAGUAGAUUGAAUUCUGCCCUUCUUGUGCUCCAGCUUGGUCGGA
Molecule: long non-coding RNA, 48438 nt
Filed under: Coffea arabica (coffee)
Lineage: Eukaryota; Viridiplantae; Streptophyta; Magnoliopsida; Gentianales; Rubiaceae
Description: long non-coding RNA (CARA_LNC000944)
Source: RNAcentral